CUCUCUCCUGUGCCUUGUGAAGAAAGUGCCUGCUUCGCCUUCACCUUCGGCCAUGAUUGUAAGUUUCCUGAGGCCUUCUCCGCCUGCAGAGCUGUGAGUCAAUUAAACUUCUUUUGUUUCUAAAUUACUCAGUCUCAGGUAGUAUCUUUAUAGCAGUGUGAAAGCGGACUAAUACAGUAACAGAGUCAACACAUGGAAAAUGAUUUUUUAUUUUUGCUGGCCCUGAGAUGACUGGUUUUCAGAGAGAGCUUUAUUCAUAGCAUAUUUAUUAUUAUUAUUAUUCAUUGUUGCAAUUUAUUAAUUUCCUAAUGUGUGCUAUGAAACGAGGUUCAGAGAAGUUAGGUAAUUUGUCUAAGGUCACUCAGCUGCUGUGAAAACCCAGCUUUAUUUGUUUCCAAAGCUUGUUCUUGUUUCACAGCGCACUUUCUCUGUUUUUAAACUUGGGGACUUUAUAUCAGAAAUCCCCUAAAGGCCUAGAUAUUUUUGCCUUUCAGUGUAGGACUUUGGGAGGGAUUAGGUCAUGAGAGUGCAGGGUUUUUUUUUUUGUUUUGUUCUGUUUUUUUUUUUUUUUUGACAGUGAUAUGGUUUCGCUGUGUCCCCCCACCCAAAUCUCAUCUUGAAUUGUAGCUCUUGUAACUCCCACGUGUUGUGGGAGGUACCCAGUGGGAGAUAAUUGAAUCAUGGAGGCUGUUUCCCUCAUAUAGUUCUUGUGGUAGUGAAUAAGUCUCAUGAGAUCUGAUGGUUUUAUAAGGGGAAAUCCCUUUUGUUUGGUUCUCAUUCUCUUUCUUGCCUGCCACAAUGUAAGACGUGCCUUUCACCUUUACCAUGAUUGUGAGGCCUCCCUAGCCACGUGGAACUGUGAGUCCAUUAAACCUCUUUUUCUUUAUUGAUUAUCCAGUCUCAGGUAUGUUUUUAUCAGCAGUGUGAAAAUGGACUAAUACAGACAGGGCGUGGUUCUGUUGCCGAGGCUGGAGUGCAGUGGAACCAUCAUAGCUCACUACAAUCUUCCCCUCCCGGGCUCAAGCCAGUUUCUGACCUCAGCCUUCCAAGUAGCUGGGACUACAGGCAUGUACCACUAUGCCUGGCUAAUUUUUGUAUUUUUUGCAAAUACAAAUGGGGUCUCACCAUGUUGCCCAGGCUGGUCUCAAACUCCUGAGCUCAAGUGAUCCUCCCACCUCAGCCUCCCAAAGUGUUAGGACUACAUACAUGAGCCACAGUGGCUUGGCCUAGGGUGGAGCUUUGAUGAACGGGAUUUGUGCCCUAAAAAAAAGGGACCCAUGAGAGCUCUAUAUAGCCCUCUUUCUUCCAAGUAAGGAUACAAUGAGAAGUCAGCAGCCUGCAACCCGAAGCGGCCCCUCACCAGAAUCUGACCAUGCUGGAACCCUGAUGAUGGGUGCUCCAGCCUCUAGGACUGUGAGGAAUACAUGUCUGUUGUUUAUAAGCCACCUAGUUUAUGGUACUUUCUUAUAGAAGUCCUAACUGACAAAGACAAGUGCUAUUUUGCCCUUCUUUGUAAUUUACAAAGAAGUUCAUCUGUCUCACUUCAUUUUUGCUUGGCAGGAGUAUUUGAUUCAAUUUUACAGAUGAGGACAGAGAAGCUAGAAUAUAUUCUAGAAUCUGUUGUCCUUUCCACCUCUCUGGGUGCAAGAACACAUGUGCCAGGCCUUGUACCUUGGACUUAUCUAGGAGCAUCAAACCAGGAGACAGGCAAGAGGGUCUCUGCCCUGGGCCUGGCCCUCACCUGCAUCCUCUGGAGCUUCCUGUGCAAUCUCAUUUGGCUUCUCUGUCCCUGCUAUUGCUCUCUGCUUGUGUUGCUUGCCUGUGAGUCAAGACCUAUUGCAGUUCCACUGGUUGCCUCCUGUGUAUGCAUCAACAUUCCACACUUGUCAAGUGUCAAGUCUUCGUUCCUAUCCUUCCCAUCUCGUUAGGCUUUGUUCUGUUUCCUUUAUCAUUGUUUGCUGGUUGCAACAGCAGCUUGCAGCCCAGUUAUGCUCUGUGGCAUUUCAGGGGCGUGAUGAGGUAGAUUGCGGGGCGGGGUGGGGGUGGGGGUGGGAAGAAAACUAACUCAGCGACUGGGACUCUGGUCUCACUGGCUGUGUGGUCCUGAGAGUUCAUUUUUUUCUCUCUGUGCCCCAUUCUUUUAUUGUUAGAAUAGGGUCACUGAGUUUCUCCCUGGUACUAACAUGCUCUGGCUCAAAUGUGAUGUUUGUGGAAGGUUAGAGGCUCACCUCCUCAACUUUCUGGGUAUGCUUAUUUUGUUGCUUAGAACAGGUAAUGCUAAGGAUAGUUAGGAGCUUUAUAUAUAUAUAUAUAUUUUUUUUCCGACGGAAAAGACAGAAAUUGCAUUUACAUAAAAUAUUGAUACACCAAAGGGAUGCUGCACUUAUCUGUGCCGCCAUCUGCCCUCAAUGGAACACAACAGAAGUGAGAAGUCCCCAAAAUGCAGUGCAGCGUGCCACUGCUAAAGCAAAAGUUAAAUAAAAAACACCCCACAAGGCCAAUUCCACAAGCUCAAACUUGGUUGUGAAGAAGAAAAAGCUAGGAGACAGGGACAACUCUAUGGGGAAUUUUAUUACCUUUUUUUUUUCUUUUUUUAAUGUAAAAGCUCUGAAAAGCAGAGUUCUAUUUUUCACCUGGAGUAUAGCAGAAAGACUGGACAAUAGACCCUUUGGGUGUUAUAAAUGUGUAAAUGUGGCACAAAAAUUCUGUAUAAAAUGUUGACAAUAUUUCCUUGAGGUUGUAAUCCUGAUUUGGAUUUUUGUCACUCAUUCUCCACUCUCUACUCUCAUUCCUGUGAAAGAGGGUGGGAAUGCCCUGUUUUCUCAAGCUUUUACCUUAUAUAUGUUUACAAGUUUUUCCCUGGAAUCCCAAUUUCAACACUUUUACACUUUUAAAAAAAUUCUAUUUUACAAUUUUUUAUUUCCAUAAGUUUUUGGGUAGCAGGUGGUAUUCAGUUACAUGAGUAAGUUCUUUAGUGGUGAUGCCUGAGAUUUUCGUGCACCCAUCACAUCAGCAGUAUGUACUGAACCCAAUUUGUGGUCUUUUAUCCCUCACCCCCCUCCCAUCCUUUCCCCCAAGUCACCAAAGUCCAUUGUAUCAUUCUUAUGCCUUUACAUCCUCAUAGCUUAGCUCCCAGUUAUGAGUGAGAACAUACAAUGUUCAGUUUUCCAUUCCUGAGUUACUUCACUUAGAAUAAUAGUCUCCAGUUCCACCCAGGUUGCUGUGAAUGCCAUUAAUUCACUCCUUUUCAUGGCUGAGUAGUAUUCCAUUGUAUGUAUAUGUACCACAAUUUUUUUUAUCCACUCGUUGAUUGAUGGGCAUUUGGGCUGAUUCCAUAAUUUUGCAAUUGUGAAUUGUGGUCCCAUAAACAUGCAUGUACAAGUAUCUUUUUAGUAUAAUGACUUCUUUUCCUCUGGGUAGAUACGCAGUAGUGGGAUUGCUGGAUCAAAUGGUAGUUCUACUUUUAGUUCUUUAAGGAACCUCCACACUGUUUUCCAUAGUGGUUAUAUUAGCUUAUAUUCCCACCAGCAGUGUAGAAGUGUUCCCUUUUCAAUGCAUCCAUGCUAACAUCUAUUAUUUUUUGGUUUUUUAAUUAUGGCCAUUCUUGCAGGAGUAAGGUGGCAUCUCAUUGUGGUUUUGAUUGGCAUUUCCUUGAUCAUCAGUGACUCAACUCUAUUUCUUUUUUGCUUCUUGCUGGGUUUCCUUGUGUCUCUACCACUAAGUUCUGACCUGCUCCCAUCAUCGUCCUCCCAGAGACAGAUAUAUGCACCUGGAACUAGUCCCAAAGUCAGGUCUCAUUUAGAAAGACAAGGGGUUAACUUUAUUGUUAUUAAUACUUUGGAGGUGUCCUGAAUGUCUCCCAUAGUAGAAUCAUAUGUAUCAAUCUAUCAAUCAUAUCAAAUAGGGAAUAGCUCCUUUCUCUUUAUGGAGUAUUGGAGUCUGAGAUAAUCCAAAGAAUGAACAGUGGUUGAAGGAGAGGAGAUAUUGAGAUACUAAUAACUGUUUUUGAACAAAUGCAUAGAAGAGGUCUCUUUAUUUAUUUAUAUUUUUCUUUCUUCCAUAAUAAUUUCAGGCAGUUUUCAAUAAGGCUCAUAUAUACAAUGUUCGCGUCUUUUCAACUUGCCUAGUGCGGUGCUCCUAAUGGCAGAGGAGAAUAGGUGGGCACUGUUCUUAGGAGGCUUUGUGGGGAUAACCCAGAAUGAUCGAAUGUUGCCUUCCAAUUCACAAUGUUUGUAUGAAUAUUACAAAGUUUUAAAUUACCUAGCUUUGAAUACAUUGGAGUUGCCAGAUAUAUGAGCAACCUUUAACCCGUGGCUUCCUGGAUCCUACAGCACACCAUGGCAUAACCUGGCCACAUGUGUACUUUAGUGUGAGAAGCAUGGCCACAGAACUUUCAAAUAGAUAUAAAAGGCAGGAGUUGGGCACUUUAAAAAGGGGAGACAAAAUUCCUAAAGACAAAAUUAACCUCUGAGCUCCCUACCAGCAAAAACAAAACAUGAAUUCUCAAAUUAUACUUAAAUCAAGCCUAAGACUUUGUGGGCAAAUUUAUUUUCUCUUUUGAUGAAGUAUACUCAAGGAAAAUCAUGGUUGAGUUGCUCAGUAUAGCUUUUCUAGUACUCUUUAUAAUCGGUGGCUCUGAAUAUCUGUUGACUAUCUAUCUGUUUUUUGACCGAGGUAUGACAAGUUGGCUGUUCACUUUCAUUUUCUGAGUAUGUUCUGGUAGUUUUCAUGCUUUCUUACACAUUAGAAUCACCUGGAGAGUUAAGAAAAAUUAAACAUCUAAGGUGCACCUGGUGCCAAUUAAAUUAGAAUCUCUGGAGGUGGGAGAGGAAUUAGGAACCAGCCAUCAGCAUUAAAAAAGGGUUUUAUAGAAGAUUACAAUAUGCAGCUAAGUGUGAGAUCCAGUGUUACAGACCAGUGCUUCUCAAACUUGAGCAUGUAUAAGAAUCACCUGGAAGGCUUGUUGAACUACAGAUUCUGGGUUCUACCUCCAAGAUUUUCUGGAGGCUUGAGAUUGUGCUCAAGAAUUUGGAGUUCUCACAAGUUCCCAGGUGAUGCUGAUGUUACUGACCUGGGGAUUAUAGUUGGAGAAACAUCAUUUUAGAGUUUCAGCUUUGUUAUUACCACUAGAAUGAGUGGGAUGGAAAUAUUCAGUCUAUAAAGAUGAAUUUGGGUUAGUUGGUAAAACCAGGUGAUGUAAUGGGGCUUGGGAAAGAUUUGUAGAACCAUGCUCUUCUGCUACAAUGGCCAUAUUUAAAUUCGAUUGACAACAUGUUUUGUUUCAGUUGGAUUUAGCCCAGGUCUUGGACACCCAGCCUAUUUCCUAUUGGUUAAAACUGUUUCAUAAAUUCAAAUGAAGAAAAACCUUAGUCUACUGCUUGUUACUCAGCACAGGUGUCCUGUGAGAUGUCAUGGUGCCCCGUGAAUGUUGCCUUAUUACUCUCUCUGUUUGUCAGCUACAGUGGAUGUAAUGGAACACUUCAAAGGAGUGAUAAAUGUCCUUUCUCUAGGACUACAGCUUUUUCUUUAUUGGGCUUAACAGUUCCCAGCCAGGCUGGCCAGCUCCUGUUUCCGCUUAGUGCAUAGUUUCUUUUUUCUUCUAUUAUAAAUAUUAUCUGCACAACUCUCUUAGCUUUACUAGUCCCAUUAAAGUGUCAUUAGGUUUCCCAUUAGCAGCUACUGUUGAUGGUUUCCUGCAGAGGCCUCAGCAUGGGCCUUCUUGCUAUGAAUUUGAGCUGGGGGAGAACAAGAGAAGAGGGAAGUGUGGAGACUCCACUAAUAUCUACCUUCCAACUUCAAAACACAAAUACUAGGCUGGAACCAAAGUCUUCAUUUGUCAGGCAAGGUUGGGGGCAGGUAAAACAAAAUUUGUGUAUUUGUUCCCCAGUCCCCAAACAGCAACUUCUGUUUCAUUUCUUUGCUUCUUUUAGUAUUUUUUAAAUAUAAAAACAAAUCAACAAAGUAUCCAGUUCAAUUUGAGUCACUUUUUACAUCUCCUACCUUCUGUCAGUUAGCAAUACUCCAUAUAGUUUUCAGUCUGCUGCCGGUUUACCUGCAGUGCUAGGUCUCUGAUUAAACUGAUUCAGGCACGGAGGACUAGAAGGCCCAUAUGUGAGGGGCAGAGUACCAGAACCAAUGGGAUAUUUAUUUUACUCAAUUUGGCCCUUAUAAAAAAAUAAUCUUUUGUACUAAAUUCCCCACUAUGUGGAAUUUAUUAAACACUCUAUGAAGAAUACAUAUGAUCAGUAAAAUUUAAAGACACAUGAAACCUAGGUACAGCUAUAAAACUUGCUUAUUAACUACUUAUAUUGAUUCAUAUCAGUCCUUUAAAAGUCCAUAACUUGAAAGAAAUAGUGUUAUCACUUUAGAAUUUGACAUCAGAAAUCCCUUUAAAUGGCCCUUCCCCAGGCUGUAGGUAUCUUCAGUUUUCUUUACCAAGACAAUUAUCAAGGCUUAACCUGUCCUCAGUUAAGAAACAAAGUCAUCUUCUGGAAGUCUUAGCUUCCUUUUCCUCAGAUGCCCACCUUUUCUUUCUCAUAGUUUGCAGGAAAAGAAAAACGAUCCCAAUUACACACACUAGCUCCAUUUACCUGCUCUACUUCACCAUGAUUGUGCUUUUCCGAUUAGGAGAAAAUUUGCUUUGACUGCUUCUUAGAUUUAGCUCUCUGCCCUUUCCAGCUGAAGAAGAGAGUCUUAAUUUACACUGAAUACAUACGUUUAGUCAUUACCACUAAAUGUUACAACUUUUUGUUGAGAAUCUCCUGGAACUCUUCUGUCUGGCUUUUGGUACAGCCUAGCUUCUUUUAUGGGGCUUCACUGAAAUUUGAGCCUCUGUCAAAGCCUGUCACUGAGUAUGAUCAUUCAGUUAGGAUUGGGAGUGAAUUUUUUCCACGAGGAGAGGUGGUUCUCUGGCCUCUGGACCCACUGAAUGGAGAUCACAGGGAUCUGGAAGGUGGCUCAUGCCUAUAAUCCCAGCACUUUGGGAGGCCGAGGCGGGUGGAUCACGAGGUCAGGAGUUCAAGACCAGCCUGGCCAAUAUGGUGAAACCCCGUCUCUACUAAAAACACAAAAUUAGCUAGGCAUGGUGGCACAUGCCUGUAAUCUCAGCUACCCGGGAGGCAGGCUGAGGCAGGAGAAUCGCUUGAACCCAGGAGGUGGAGGUUGCAGUGAGCCAAGUUGUGCCACUGCACUCCAGCCUGGGCAACAGAGCGAGACUCCGUCUCAAAAAACAAACAAACAAACAAACAAAAGUGAUGCAUUUGCUAGAGGGAGCAAGGCAGGGCCAGAGUUCCAUGUACUUUGCAAUGGCAAGCUGUUUAAUCCUUCAGGAAAAUUAUGUGUAGACCCAAAGGAAGCUUUUUAGAAGGUGACCUCCACUUACCAAGCUCCCAAGAAUAACAGAGCUUGCUCUUUCCUCUGUAAAAAAUGGGGCACUGUGAAAAACAUGGCUGUGCUGCAGCCAAGCAGGUAUAGGGCAGCAGGCAUGGCCAAGGUAAACAGCCUAGAUGACUCAGCGGGUUUGGGGUGCAAGAGCCAGUCCCGUGUCUUAUAUAACCAUAGCCAUGUAGACAUAACAUAGAGAAGCUCACCACCUGGCUCUCAGCCACUACUGUCUGUGUAGUGUAUAAAUGUAAUAUUGACCUUGUGAAGGGGCUGCUGAAUAAAGCCGUGUCUCAUCUACCUGCUGUCUCUUGAGUGUUCUUCCAGCUCCCUGCCCCACAUCCACCCACUCUCCUCAGCUCUCAGCUGGAACUGGAGCCUGACCCUGAGCAUGACAUUUGGCAUAGUCGUUGGCAGGAUGAGGUGAGUGGGUCUUCAGCCCUUGGGGCUCCCAGGUUGGCUGUGUGGCUGCAACAUGGGCUGUGGUACCCAGUGGCAGAAGUGCUGCUUGGGUGGGCCCCAGUGGAAAUGUGGGAGGCAGUGGACGGGUCUCCCACGAGUGUGGAGAAGGCACUGAAGCAGCUGGAAGCUCAUAGCACCAAGAAGAAAUGCACCUUCGCCGGCAGAGUUGGAUAGGCGUUUCUGACCAUACUACAUGAAGUACAUGCUCAGUCUCUGUGGGACAUGGCACAGGUAAGGGACCUUCAGGCAUAAGUUGAGUGCCUGGGAGCCCAAAUGCACAGCUUGGAGCAAAACCUGGGGGUGAAGGACCUCCAGGCGCAAGCAGGGCACUUAGAGGCUCAGAUAAACAGCCUGGAGCAGGCGUUGGAAACAGCUCCGAAUGCAACCUUGAGCCUGUCCUCCAGGCCGGGCACUCCCGUUUGGUCUGAUGCUGAGAAGGAGGAGGCUGCUCCACUUCCGGCUCACCCUGUGAUCUGUCAGAAGGUAGAACAUGAGCAGCCGAUGGGACCCCAGAGGAGAGCCCAGGGGCCCCCCACAGUGGUGGAACACACCUCUUAUAGUGUUUAUACCCCCCAUGAGUUGUGGGAAUUAGGUAGGCAAUGCAGGCAGCACCCAGGGGAGCCCCUCCCAGCCCUGAUUACUCUGUCUUUGGGAUGAGGGGGCUGACAGCAUUUCUUGCUCUGCCUCCGAGAUGGAGAAGCUGGCCUCUAUCACAACUCACCCCUCCCUUCGUCAGCAGCUGCAGCUGUGCCAAUGCUUGGCACAAGGGCAAGGUGAGCACAUGUUAAUCAAGUGGCUGAUGGCAGCCAUACAGACUGUUUGGCAUGAUGCCGGUGAGACACCAGAAACUGUGAGUAAAUGGCAGUCAUACACUGAUUUGGUGCAGGUACUCUGGGAGAUGGGUGUGCAGCCAAGCAGGCUAUUUAGCAGGCACAAGCCCCAUGGUAGUGGGCCAGGGGUGCCCGUUUAAACUAGAUGUGCGUGUGACCACAGAUAGUUUCUGUGAGGGCCUAUGGUAGCACACGGAGCACCCGAGUACGUCAGUAGGCUUUUGGUGCCAAUUAUGGAAGGGAGCUGAGCUCUGUAAACUUCCUCUAAAUAGAUGGGAUAUUAAUGCAAGAAAAAAGCAUUUCUAUGAAAGCUAAGCUUCUUUGGAAAGAUUUAAAUACAAGUUGUUAAUAAGCAUUGUUAUCAAAUUAGGAAUGGACAGAACAUCUGCAAAAAGUUAAAUCAUAAAAGUCUAGGAGAAUUCUGCAUUAAGAUUUUUUUUUGUUUCAUCUAAAGAAAUCAGAUGUUACAUGAUGGCUGUGGUUUAUACAAGAAAGACAAUAGAGGACUCUUAACAACAGGCUCAUGGUAGAAGCAGCACCCUGGACUCCAGAUUAAUACAUUGGUGAAUACAUUUAUACUUAUAGGUUUAACUUUGAAUAAAAUUAAGGAACACUGACUGUCUUUUAUGAUUAAGCAACAACUGUCAAUCCCUAUUGCAUUCACUAUUUAUGAAGCCCAAGCAUGAGCUGGGUGUUUCUGCUCCUUCAGAAUUAUAGGACAUUGUCCUUAAAGUUCCACACCAGGCCAAGGAAUCUGAGAAUUCCUGGGGGACUUACAUGUUUGUGGUCACCUUUGGCUCUAACCUUCUGGUUCCCUGUAUUUUAGUUUUUGCAUUAUCAUUUGUCGUUUGUGUAUUCUUUUUGUUCUCUGUCACUUAGCCCUGGCUGUGAUCUCAGGUUUCCUUAAUUUCUAUGUAUUAAAAAAAAUCUUACAUAAAGCAGUUGCAUAUAUGGUAGACUUGACUGAAGAGGGAGAAAGGGAGGGCUUUAUAUUGUAGCAACAAAAAUAAUUUUAAAUUGAAAAUCAUAUAUCCUUGUUCUUAAAAGUCCUUUGGCCACCUUGCUACUGGGAAGAGAAUUUGACCAUUAAUCCCAACAUAGUACCCCAGCCAUGCAUUAUCUGCCUACUUUCUUUGAAUUUUACUUGUUUCUUUUCUCUCUUCUGUUCUUCUUUCUAUUCAUGUUUAUAUGAAAGGCAGAGCUGUUUGGCUAAUCGCUACUCUUGGGUAGGAUCUCACCUUCCUACUUGCCUCUACUCAGGUAGCUUAUAUGUGGGGUGUGUAUGUGUGUGUGGAGGGAUAGAGAGAGAGAGAGAGAGAGAGAGUCAGUCAGUAGGGUGACUAUAUCCUAGGAACUGGAACAAUUUUGAAAGUUAAAGUGGACAGUAUUAAUAAUUUCCCUCGGAUAAAAGGCAAAAUUUUGAAUUAUUCUGGAUAAAUCAAAAUCUGCUAUUUCAUAAAUAGGUAUUUUUCUAACCAUGGGCCAUUUUCUCCAUAAGGAGAAUUGUGUUGUUAGCUGAUAAAACUUUUUUCACCCCAUUACAUAUAUAUACUUCCCAAAUCUGGUUAAUUGCAAAUAGCCAAUUCCUUGCUUCCUUAGGGGAAUAUGUUGUUAACUGAAACAAAGCGUGCUCUUUUACCUGCUCUCACUGUUAACUGUUCUGUGUAUUUUACCCUCUUCGAGCUCAGUUUUUCCAUCUAUGAAAUGGAGGUGAUUGCCUGCUAAGGGACUUGAAUGAAAAAAAUAGACAAUAAGACAAUUUAAGGGGAUUAAAUUAUAGAAAUGUUUGUUUGUUUUAGAUGAUAGCAAGGAUCAAAAGUCACAGGAAGUGUGAGUGAUGUGGAGCUACAUCAGCCCUGAUCGCUUUUCUGGGAUUUGAGCCUCUGCGCGUCUUACUUGGUGCCCUUUUAUUCUUGCUCCAUGACUCUACCCCUGGUCCUUUGAAACAACUCUGCCAAUAGUCCUGGAUCCUAACCUUCCACCUCCUUAUUAGUUCAGUCCUGGGCCUCUACUCAGCAAAUUCAUCCAAUCACCCUGAAUUGUAUGUAGUUGAGUCAGGUUAUUGUGAUGCUGAUAAAUCAAAACUAAAUUGAAGACAUCAGCCUCAUUUUCCUUACCUUAUUUCCAGAUGUGAAAGUUAAUGGGCUUGGAUUGGCUGCUAACACUGACACUCAUCAAAGAACAUUUUCCCUAAGGACAUUAACUGCAAUUUAUUGAUUGGGUGGAGACCUGAGGCAUUUGGGGUGUGGAAUUGUAUUAUGGCCUACAAAAAUGGUUGGAGAUGAAAUCUAAGCCUGCCACAGAUGAGUUUGUCAAAUUGAGCAGAAAUACUGUGACUUAGAUUCGGAGGCCAGGUAGGCUGACAAGAUGAAGCAGUUUAAAAAUGAAUCACCUUAUGAGAAAGAGAUGAGCAGCUCUUUCCUUCCUCUAAGAGUAGGAAUAUGGAGCCCAUUUUAUGUGUGCUGAGUUCAACUGCUUUAAUUGGGGGAUACAUCCAUUUAGUUCUUCAUUGUCUCCUGCACUCUGUGAUGGCUACUUGGAUCAUUUCUGCCUGCUCUCUAUACUUCCUCUUCUUCUGUCUCAAAUCCGUUCCAUUCAGGACUUUCACUCCCUCCACUGCAGCCAGAUUACUCUCAUAAUGACCACCAAUGCCCUCCCCACAGCUAAAAACAGAGAUCAGUUCCCAGCUCCCAUUCUAAUUGUGCUAUCAUCACAUUUAACACGUUGGGUUAUACUUUUCUACUUGAAACCAUUUCUUCACUUGGCUUCGAGGACAUCACACUCUUCUGGUUUCCUUGCACCUCAGUGACUGCUCCAUCUCUCUCCCAUUGAUUGAUGCAGCCUAAUCUUCCUGACUUCUAAAUAUUGGGUCCCCUAGGGUUCAGUCCUUGGAUGUCUUUCCUAUUUUGUCUAUACUCAUGCCCAUCCCAUCUCAUGGAUUUAAAUUCAAUUUAUCUACUGAAGAUGCCAAAAUGUAUAUAUCUGGCCUGAAACUGUCCUGCGGACUAGAGAUACAUAUAACCGUGUGCUUGCUGAACUCUCCACUUGAAUUGGUAACAGGCAUGUUGAAAAAUUAAUGUCUCAGUGAACUUCUCCCCCAAACAUGUGCCUCCUAGUCUUCCCUUAUCAGUAAAUGGCAACUCUUUCCUCCUAGUUGCUUGAGCCCAAACCCUUGAAGUCAUUCUUAUCUUUUGAUCUCACAUUUUACUUCAGUGCAUCAGCAUAGCUUAAUGGUUUUAUCUUCCCAAUAUCUGUACAUCCAGAAUUGACCAUGGCUUAUCAUUUCUCAGCUGUCACUGUGGUGGUCCCAGCCACCAUAUUCUUUCACCUGGUUUGUUGCAAUACCCUUCCUGAAUGUCUUCCUGCUUCUGCCCUGGCCCCUUGUAGUAGAGCUUCAAUGUGGCAGCCAGGAUUAUGCUUUAAAAACAAAAUUCAGAUUACGCUACUCCUCUGCUGAAAAUCUUGAAUGGAUCCACAUUUCUCUCAGAGUAAUUGCCAGUCCUUACAGAGGUCUAGAAGGCUCUUUAAACCCAUUUCUGAGCUAAUGUCCUAAUAGUCUCUUUCUCUCUGUGUGUCAUCAGUGACAACACUGACUUCCAAUACUCCAGCCACAUUCCUACUCAGAAGAUUUUCAUUUGCAGCUCCUUCUGCUUAGAACUUUCUUUCUCCAUAUAUGUUGCAUGACUAAUUCCCUCACCUACUUAGGUUCUUUUCCCAAAAUGUCACCUUCUCAGUAAGGCCUUCUCUGAUCAUCCUAUUUAAAAUUGGAAAACCCACUCAUCCCAGAGGCUCCUACCUUUUCUCUUGCUGUACUAUAGACUUAUUAAAAAUGAAAUAGAAUUUUUAAAAGACAAUGGUUUUAUAAAGAAAAUUAUUUGAUCAUGAAUCUUAUUAAAAAUUACCAUGUAGAAAUUUCAUUCUUGAAGGUAAUAAUGUUUUCAAUUUCUGAACCUUUUUACCCAGAAUAUAGUGAUCACUCUCCAAAAACUCUGUUCAAACAUACUGUUUAAAAGUGCAGUGUUGGCCGGGUAUGGUGCGCCUCAUGCCUGUAGUCCCAGCACUUUGGAAGGCUGAGGUGGGUAGUUUGCUUGAGCCCAUGAGUUUGAGACUAGCCUGAGCAACAUGGUGAAACCCAUCUCUACAAAAAGUAGCUUGGUGUGGUGGUGCACUCCUGUAGUCCCAGCUACUUGGUUGGCUAAGGCAGAAGAACCACGUGAGUCUGGGAGGCGGAGGUUGCAGUGAGCCAUGAUCAUGCCAUUGCACUCCAGCCUGGGUGAUGGAGUGAGACUUUGUCUUAAAAAAAAAAAGUGCAGUGUCUGUAUUUUUUUAAUAGAUAGUAUUAUAUACCUGUCUGCUUGAAGAGCUGACCUUCUGUUGCUGCACUUAGAGUGUUGAGACUUUAUGGAUAUGGCAUUGUGCCUUCUUACCACCCAACUGUCUUUACUGGAAGUUAAUUGUAUAUUUGUUUCAAUGUGUUUUUAAGACUUUUGUAUUUUGAUAAUAUGAUACAUUUAUUCUAAAAUUAUGAUCUCUUCUAAGGGCGCAGGUGUAGAUAAGUUAAGUCCUCAAUUAUUGGGAACCACAGGUAACUGAACAGACUCAGUCAACCUAGUCAGGAUCUUGGGAGCCAAAUCAAAGGAAACCAGAAACUAGAGGAGGUAUUAAAUGGAAUUUUCCUCUAGUUAUUGGAUGAAAGGAAAGAAUGAAAUGCUCAUCCGUUUUCUAUUUUCCUAGAAAUUCAGGUGAUCAGUUUCUUCUGUCUAGGGCCCCAAACCACUUCUCAACCUAUUAAAAAGUGAUAAAUUAUAUAAAUAUAUCUUACCGCACUUUCAAAUAUGAAACAUUUAAAAUGCAUUUGAGAUACAUAAGUGAAUUAUUCAUUUACCAAAGAGCAGACUUUUACUAAAAUAGUUUAGGAUAAAAAGCAGCAUAUGCAAUUAUCUAAUUGUCAUCUACUUGCAUUCUAACAACCAUAUGUACUCUCCCAUUCACUUUCUAUAUUUUCAGCCCUCAGGCUGAAAGGUCUCAAACAGUGUUUUGAGAUUUGAGAAUUCUGAGGUCUUUGAUUAAAUCCACACCUACUGGGAUCCAACUGCUGAGGUUCCAUAUCAGGAAACUUCAGGAGAAGAAAUUUACAUGUUUGUACAGCCAGCACUUUCUAAAAUUUUGAUAAAGUGCAAAUCCAAUUAUUUAGAAUUUGCAAACUACAAAUCAAGAUAUGUUUUUUAAUACAGCACACACUCACUGUCUUUUCCUCUCUCUCUGUCUAUCCAAUUUUCUAUUCUGUUUGGAAUAUCUGGAAUAUUGUUUGGAAUAUUGCUGGAGAUGCCUUAUUUAUUUAACAAAUGUUAAAUCUAAUGAAUGAGGCAGUCAGUCAAAAUUGGGGUGUUUUAAAUGGACACUCCUAUUUCUUCAGAUGUAGAGUCACAGGGUAUCAGGUUUAGAAGGAACCUUAAAGUUUCAUCUAGACUAGUGCUUCUCACUCCUGGUUAGACUCAUCUGGAGAGCUUUUAGAAAUACUCAUGCCCUAGACCAGUUGAAACCAAGCUUCUGGGGCAUUGUGCUGACCAUCUGCAUAAAAACAAAAUGAACUCUCAGAUUACUGGGUAGCAAAGAUUUAGAACUAUGAUCUAGGUAAACCCACUUGAUGCUCAAAUCUCCCAUGCAUUAUUAUGACUGGCCCAAAUUUGGUUGGUCUUUGUUAGUUACCUCCAAGGAAAAUGCUCAUCCUUUCUAACGAGCUCUAUAGGAAGUUCUUCUUCAUAUUGACACAAAGAUAUUUCCUUAUACCUUCUAUCCAUUGCUCCUGAUUGUGUUACUUGAGACCACAAAGUACAAAAUCUAGUAUUUCCUUAUAGUAGUUCUUUGAAAAUUUGAAGGCAAUUUUCACUUAUCUACUUUUUUAAAACCAAAUAUUUACUGAGUACCUAUUAUAGGCCCAGGCCUGUAGUGAGACUCUAACACAAAUAAGAUAUGGUCAUUGUACUCACCAGGCUCACAGUCUUGUGGGGAAGAUGGAAAAAGCAAUGAAAACAGUACAUUUUAACAAUGCAUUGGUGUCCCCUGCCUCCCUGCCCUGCACCGACUCUGCCUUACUCUUCUCUACACCAGGGCAGUGUAGCCCCGAUUCCUUCACUUUGUCUUCAUAUGAUAUUGUUUUGAAGCUCUCUGUUUACCAUAGUUUGAACUUACUUCAGUUUUUCUGCAUCCCUAAUAAGAUGUCGCUCCCAGCAUGGAUUACAGAUAUCAGAUGUGGUCUGAAUAUACCAAAGAAAGAGACCGCUAUCUAUUUCCUUCUAUUUCUAGAUGAUACAUUGCUAGCUCAUCACGAAGUUAUGGACAAUUAAAGUCAUUAGGACUUAUUGAUAUAUCCAGGGCUACUUGUAAGAGCAAAUCUAUGCUUUGGGUGAACAGGAGGACAGGAAAGGCAAUGCUGAUGUCAGAGCAAAGGGUUGGAGGAAUUUAACUUCCCUUUCCCUUGUCUGCCUUCUCUUUGGGCUUAGUUUUGGGUCCCUAAGGUCACAUGUAAACAUUCUGAGAAUUGACCCAUUAUGCCAUUGAUCGUGGAGGCCAUGGAUGGGCCCAGCCAAAGGUGGGCACACUUGCUAAGUGAAGUGGACCUGAAAGAGACACAGAGGUGAGUGUGAAGCACUACAUUCAAAAUAGGAAGCAGUAUUUGGUAAAACUCUUUCUGUAACCAGAUUUUCACAUUUCUGCUUAUCAAUGCUGGAAGAAAUUGACUUUCCUGGUUCUGGUGUCCAGUUCUGGAUACAAACUGGCCAAGUCCAUAUUUCACCUCUUUUUUUAAAAUCUGUGCUGUGAGCUAGAUGGUAGAGUACAUGCAUUAAUUUCCAGUAUUACCUUAUGGCUUUAUGGGAACUCUUAAAUUAGUGACCUCUUUGACCUUUUACACACUUUUUUUUUGAGACGGAGUCUCGCACUGUCGCCCAUGCUGUAGUGCAGUGGCACGACUCGGCUUACUGCAAGCUCCGCCUCCCAGGUUCACGCCAUUCUCCCACCUCAUCCUCCCGAGUAGCUGGGACUACAGGUGCCCGCCACCACGUCUGGCUAAUUUGUUGUAUUUUUAGUAGAGAUGGGGUUUCACCAUGUUAGCCAGGAUGGUCUCGAUCUCCUGACCUCGUGAUCUGCCCGCCGUGGCCUCCCAAAGUGCUGGGAGACCUUUUACACACUUUAAGGUGUCAGUGUUGUUAUGGACCAGUCGGAACCCCCAUCGGCGGAUGAUUUCAAUGUUUGCCCCAAUCCACCCUCCCUUUAUGUUUGCCAAUUAGCAUCUCAAGAAGGAAUGCCACUGUGUCUUUGAAUUUUUAUAAUGAUAUUUAAUAAAAUAUUUCACAAAUAUUUGAUAACAAAAUAAGCUCUGUUAUGCUAAAAAAAAAAGUGGGUACAAUCAAAGACCAUAACAUUGCCAUCAGAAUCAGUAAAUACUCACUGAGGGUAUGUGACGUAAUUGGUUCAGAUGGGAACAAGUUGGGGUUCUAAUCUGGGGGAGAUUUGGGCAAGGCCCUUCAUUGUUGGUGCUUCUUUAGUACCCUUUUAAUAAGAACAAAAUAGCACCAUCCAGAAAGCCCUAGGAAAGCAUGAUGAAUGACCACACCUGAAAAGAUGUGUGUUCUAGGUCAGCAAACAUUCAGGAGAGUCAGAGAUGCUUUUGAACAGAGGGAAGGUAGAUCCCAGGCAUCUGACUAAGACUGGAAGAAGAGUGAGGGAGGAAUGUUGGGUUUAUUUAUGCUAUCCGAAGAGCCUUUAAUCUGUCUGCUGCUGGACAUAGUGACCUAUUCAAGAUGUUGGAGUUACAUUUGCAGAUAAACAUGUGGGUGAUGCUUGAAUAUAGGCUUUUGUCUACUGCUUAACUUGCUUACCUGUCAUUCAUGAUAGAGUUUCCAGUGCUCAGCUCUUUAAGGGGCAGACUUUCGCCAAUACCAGUGGUCUGUUGGAUCCUUACCAUCCUUAUCUUCUCUGCAGCAUUUGACCAUCUUAAUGAUGCCGAUCGGAAAACCCCCUUCCUUGUGCUGUUUCACUACACCAUCCUGAUUGGUCUUACGUCUUUCCGGUCCAUCCUUCUCUCAUGUAGCUCUCUCACCAGCUCACCAUGGACAUUCCCUGAGAUUCAGCAUCUGGUUCUUGGACAUUAUUGUCUAUGUGUCCGUUUUCAUUUGGAUUUCUCAGGAUUUCAUUACCACUUACGUGAUAUGUUUCAAAACAUUAUAGUCAGCCCUAAACCACAACGUGCAUGAUCUAUUAUCCAUUUAAGUAAAAUGUCACUGUAAUUAUUAUUAUCUUUACAUAUCUACACCUGAACUUGCUUCUGUCAGCUUAUUGUCAAUCCUUGAAAUCCAACAUUUUGUUUUUUUCUUUCCUGGUUUCUCUGUGUUUUCAGUGGUAUUCUUAUUCUCCCAGCCAUCCAAGUUUUUUUGUUUUUUCCACCCCCCACCAACCAACAAAUACAAGUAUCUAUUUUAGUUCAGACACUGUGCUAGAUUCUGGGUAGAUUAUGUACUAAGAGAUAUGGUCCCUACUUCAGUGGAGUUUGCAUUCAUGUGGAAGGGUUAUAUUAUUAUUUCUAUUGUCACAAAAAUAUAGGUUACCACACACCUGAGAGGAGGAAUAAAGGAAAAGUACUGGGAGCCAUGCAAAUGUAUAAUAGGGGCCUGACCUAGACUGGAGGGGAGAGAAAGCUUCUCUGAGAAGAAUGUUUGCCCUGAGAUCUGAUUGAUGAGUCAGGGCUGGAGAAGGACAAUUUAGGCACAAAAAUAGCAUUCCUGAAAGUCUUGGGAUGUGGGUGGUAGUGGGAGGAAACUGUACAGGUCAAAGUAACAAGGAAAACAACAUAGGUAGAAAAGGGAAAGGAGAUGGGCAAGAGUGGACCUAGGGACACCAGUCUGGUCUGGAGGCUGUAACAAUAAUGCAAAUUAGGGCAAGGGAGGUGGUUGUGGAGGUCGAGAGAAGAUGCUGGUUCUCAGACACAAAGUCAAACCUCAGUAUCACUAUAUUUGAACACAUUUAGUAUUCAACCAGCCAACACAUUCCAUUCAAUGUUUCUGUAUAAUACCUGCAUUUAUGUUUUUCUUUCCAUUCAUGGCCUUGCCACUUAAUUCCAGGGCUGUGGCUUCAUGUCUGAAUUAUAGCUAUCUCUGAUUAGGGUUUGCUUACUGAAAACUGCUAGUCCUCUGCCCUUCAAUUCCCCAUUUUAAUGAGGGCCUCAUCCCACCCCAGGAUCUGCAUCAGCACUGAGGAAACUGGCUUCUACUAGGAUAAAGCAGCAUACAUUUCUGUGUCGUGUAAGGUUCCAAACACAAAUAAGUUCCAUCGUCUGGAGCUUAUUUGUACACUUUAAAAAUGUACAGAUCCCUAGGCUCAAUAUCCAGAGGUUUUGAUUCAGCAAUUUUUUUGGGUGGGACCCACAAAUCUGUAUUUGAUGAUGAUCAGGUUUCUAAGCACCGGGCAGGUUUGGUUUGGUCUAAGGCAUCACUUACUGUGGAUUUCCCCCUGGAGUGAAGAGGGCAAUCCUUUUCCAGGUCUAUCUAGUCCCUGUCUUCUCUGUAACCUUCCCCAAUCUCCUUCCUCCCUGAAGGAAAACACCCUUUCUCACUUAAUUCUUUAUUUGACUUUUAAGCCGUCUGUUUUGUGUUUUUUCUUCCCUCUGGGGAAUUUCUGAUGUCUUCUUCGCAGGCGUAGCCACCUGUGAAGGGACGUGCCAUGCCAUAGAAGACUGCUCCUGGCUGGCUGAGUGACAGGGAGGAUUUCCUAAGAUUCAUUACAAAGCAAACCCUGUAUUUUCAAAGAUGAGGCAUUGGAUAGAGCAUGAGAAGAAAGUCAGCAGCAAGAAAAUAAUCUGUUUGAGAAAGCAGCCCUGUUUCAUGUAUCUGCCAAUUACAUUUGCUUCCUUUUGGUCUUUAGAUUAAAAAAAAAACUCAAGUAAACGUGACUGUGGUGCAUCUGUUUUAAUGCUUCUAAUCUUCUGACUACUAGAGCAAAAAAUUAAUAUCUUCCUUCCUCAGUAAGAAUAAAAGCUUAGGUACCAAUGGAAGGAGGGAAAUGAAGAACAGCUGCAGUUUAUUUCAGGGUAGGGGACAUGCAUUGCUGUGUGUAUGUGUGUGUGUGUGUAUUCACAUAUCUAUAUGAUUAGUAUCAGUUUAAUAUUUUUAUGGAACUGUAGCAAUAGAUAAUGUUAGAUAUGUGAAAAAAUAUCAAAAUUGAAUCCUUGACCUAAUAUACUUAACUUUGUAGGCAUAAGUGCAUUAUCAGAUAUCCGUGAGCCAAAGAAAUAACACGAAGGGAAGUUUACUUGGUGUCCAAUCAUGGAUUCAUUACUUUUUAAUAUUCUCUGAUGUCUAUUCUUAGAAUCAUGAGUCUUUUCGGAUGUCCUUUAAUUUCAUGUAUUGUCAGUGUACUGACAAGUGGUUAUUGAGCUAGGGCAGGUAACAAGAGAACACCUAUUUGCAUUCCCUAAUCUUGAGUCACUGAAACCCGAAAGAAACCCGAAUGAAGAGGAACACAGAGGAAUUAUAAAUUUAAAUUGGAGAGUGUCUGUUGUGUGUGUGUGUGUUGAAAUGGGAGAGGAGGUGAAAUUGAGAGGAGGAGGGAGAUGGACUUGUUUCCACCCAUAGCACAGAGGAAGAUAAAUCAACACAGGAGAUUAAAAAAAAAUGUAAAAAAGCUUUUCCUGUUCGCCUCGCUUCCUUGUGGUGUCUUUGAAUGUGUUUGGCAGCAGUGGGCCAUGUCAGGCCACCUGUGCAGUUAGCAAAUUGCUCAUGGUAUUUAAAGGGCUCCUUUAUUAAUCUCCUCAAGCAUCCUUUGGGAAAUUGGAUGCUUGCUUUGGAAGGUCCACUGUAUUUUUACUUUUCUCGAAGCAUUAUGGUAUUUUAUUUAAUGGUUAAUAGGUAUUUUAUUUAUCCUCAGAAAGAAUAGACCAUAGGCUUCUGUAAGGAAAAGACUGUCUGCCUUACUUUUGUAUCUUAUACAAGGCCUUGUGCAAUGGUAGAGAGCGUCUGUAAGUUUUGCAGUUCCAGGAGCACUAGCCACAUCGUUGUGCUAGUGGGGAGAGCCUAAUAUGAGAUACAUUGUGAGGGGUACCUCUGAAGUUGUGCAACACAGCAGUAGGCACUUAAUAAAAAUAAAUUGAUAUUUAUGAAUGAACAAUUAAGUGAUUGAAUAUCUUUCUUUUCAUUUGUUUCAGAGGCUGUUUAGUGUAGUUUUAUGUUCAGUCCAAGUGAAAUAGAAAUAUAUGAAUUAUGGAUUAAGAGAGACUUGGGUUCAGUCUUGAUACUGUCAUUGAUUUAUUGUGUGAUUUAGACAAAUUAUCUAAUUUCUUUAAACCUCAAUUUGCUUAUCUGUAAAAUAGGUAGAGUAAUACCUGCCCUAUAGAAUUGGAAAGAUAAUUUUAUUUGUCAUAUAUAUAUUUAUAUAUGUCACCUGACAGUCUUUGGCACACAGUAGAUAUUGAAUAUUACUAAUGAUAAUUAUGAUUCUAUGUCUUUCAAUCCAACUUUAGUUACAUUAGUAACAGUGAAUGGAGAAAUUAGAGCAUGAACAUCGGAUUAGUUCAAACCUAUCUCAACUAACAACAGGGAUUGGAUCUCCCAGUCAUAGGCAUAGUUGAUAGGACAGAAAUAAACAUUGUUUUGAAUGCAUAGAUUAUAAAUUAUCUGAACCUAUAUUUCUUUUCUGAAAAUAUAAAAAAUAGUUGAGAAUGACUGAUUCUAUAUUGUGCAAUGUGAAGGACAUGCAUUUCAUCAUAUAUUAGCUUUGAUGCAUGGUUAUACAACCAACAAGAACUAAUGCAUAAUGGGUUUUUGAUAUUAACUCCUGGGUGCUACACACAAGUAGGGCAGAGAGAAAGGACUCUAUUCAGGCUGGCACAGAUUCCUCCUCUAGGUUUUGUGAAUCUCCAACCAAGUUCUACUUUCUUAGUUCUACUAUAAUAAAUUCUUACCAAGUCUGCAGCCUAUCCUGCAGAAUUUACCAUAGUUAUUCUUUUUUAUUAUUAUUGCCUCAUUCUUACUGCCUUUUUUUGUUAUUUGUGCCUUUGCUCUUUCCACAUAUUUAUUAACUGAAUUAGCACAUUUCUAAUGUUUCUUCACAUUUAAUGAGGUGUUGGUAUUUUGAUGGCAGGAAUGAAGAAGUGAGACCCUUGGGUAAGAAUUUUAUUGAACUUCAAUGUAUUUUAUUUUCCAAGAUGUAUAAUUUGCAAAGCCAUAAUAUAUUGUGCAACACAAAGUGAUAUGUGUCCCUACAGUAUCUGAUAUUGUUACGGUUGAAAAUAUAAUGCUCUUAAGGAAAGUUCCUUAGACAAGCUAACCAUAUCCUGAAGAGUCAAAUUUAUUUAAUAGAAAAAGAAAAAAAAAUCCCAUCAUCUGUAAAACACUUCAAAUGUGUUAAAAAUGAUUAGAAAUACAAAACUGAAUUGGAAAUGCCUCUGGAUUAAUUUGAUUAAACAGUCUUAGUCAAGAUUCUUUUGGUGGAAAAUAACAAAAACCUAUUCACACUGGCUGGCACAGGGAGUGGGAGUUUAUUAAUAAGGACACAUGGGUGUCUCAGAGUUCCCAAGGGCAGAAAAUGGGAUUGCAACCUGAAGCUAACAACCCACCCAAACCUAGGCAUAAGCACGUUUUAAGCCUCAAGAUUUCUCUCUACUUCAGUUUUCUCUCUCUGCAGUCAUUAUUUGUGCUUCUUUCUGCCCAGCUGAAGAUGGCUUUCUCUAAGGCAAACUCAGUUCAUGAGCUCAAACGAAGAGCUCAGACCACCUGGUAUCUCUGAGUCCCAAGGGGAAAGAAUAUGAUUCGCCUCGGAUGCAGGAGUCCUGUGGUGAAGGCAUGGCUGCCUGGAUGCCCGAUUUGGGGUGGAAUGGGAUGGGGCAGGGAGGAGAGAUUCCAUCUUGUUUGAUCCUCUUACAGUGCCACUGCAUAAAGCCAGUUUAGUGUGAGCACAAAACAGUUGAAGCUGAAGUAUUUUAUGACAUUCACUUACUGUUAAAAGACUGAAUCUAGAUUUGAACAGCAAAGUGACCUAUGAAGGAAACCUCCUGAAGAAUUUAAGUUCUAAUAAUUUUUACCUGAAAUUAUGGAGAGGUUGUGUAUAAUUGAUUUUAUAUUUAUUUUGCUUUCUUUGGGGGUGAAUUACAUUGCGCCUAAUCAUAAUUUCAAGACCAUGACAGUGGUAUCCUUUAUACGAUUGCUCAAAAAUGUUUCUUAUUUUUUCUCAUGUUUAUCUUUUUCCUUUGCUCCUUUUUCUCCUGUAUUCCACUCUUAGGGUAUUCUUUCUCUCUCUUCCCCUGUUUCUAUUCUCAUUUUCUUUCUCUCAAGGAAUGAAAAGAUGUGUGUGGGUGUUGUAACAAGAGGAAGAGAGGAAAAAUUGAGCAAUGACAAGUUUGAGAGUAGCAAAAUUAUUUUAGUAACUGACUGUCUUAGGAGGAUACAUAUUGAUGUAUAAUUUAUACACAAAUGCAAAUAGUCAUGUAAAUUGGGUGUGUAUUUUAGCUCUUAGAAAAUGACUGCCCACACGUUGCUGUGUAGUCCUGCCCUAUACUUCGGCCUCAGAAGGCCAAUUUGGAGUCGAUAAGAGUUAGAAUUAAGGAGGGUCUGGUGUAAUUGUAAGAUGAAAUGCGUUGUCCUUGUAUUCCCAUAAAAUGACCAAGGCAUGUGAAAGGGUUGAAAGGAGAAUAGAGAGGAGAAUAAAUGGAAGAGAAGAGCAGACAAAAAGACAGCUGGGGUGAUGAGGGGAGGGCAAGAGAAGGGAAGGAGGGGGCUCUGAGCAGGUGAUGGGUCCUGAGCAGGCAUUAUGUAAAUGGUCGUCUGGAGCACAUUUAAUCAGAAAAAGGGCCACUGCUGGCCCAUCCAGUAUCUUUGUGUGAUUUAGGAAAAGACACCCAUUUGCAAUUAUGUGGCUGCAUGAGUGCAUCCCUUGACUGGGUUGGGCACAUCUGUGCAGGACAAACUUAUAUAAUCUUAUGCAGCAUCCUUGAGGGGUGAGAGAGAAGUGAGAAUUGGGAAGUCAGGGUGAAAAUGUAAGGUUUGCAAAGAGCCUUUCCCUUGCUCAUGACCCCUUUCCCUAGCUUGUGGCUGUGUGAGUCACAGUUACACUUUGGGGUAUUAUUGCUUGCAAACCUUGGGUCAGGGAGAAUAAAGGGGAGACUGAUCAGAAGAGAGAAGGGAUAGAGUGUGGGCCAUAUCUCCUCAUGAAGGUGGUAUAGAAACAUAUGUGACUGAUGGCAGAAGGAGGUCUUCAGGUAUAGAAGGCCAAGAGUAUCUAUUAAUAUUUUCUUUCUGCAUUAGGCAUUGGUAGGUGACCAACUUCAUUGGCUAGGAGACCUCCUGCCUCUAUUUCACCCCUUGGUGGAAGAGGAAAAGCACUGAGAUGGGCCAAGACAAGCUACUGUGCUAGGCAGUUACUCAGUUAGUAAGUGAGAGAGAUGGAAUUAGAAUGAGGCCUGGCUGGCUGUAAAGCCCAUGCAUUGUACAUUCUGCCUCAUUACCUUUAUUACUGCUUCUGCCCUUCCUGAGGGCAAUGCUGAUAGCUUCCAGUUUUCACCUAAUGUGCUGCACACUCAUGACAAACAUGCAGCUCCUGUUUCCAGAGUAGCCAUGGAGAAGAAAACUUGUUGCACCAAAUGUUAAGGUGUACAAAUUGUAGGAGACAAGACCCAUGAAGCAGGUAACAAAAAUUGUGACAGAUGAUCUAACAAAAGAAUUUUGUGCAGCUUCAUGCUGUGAAUCAGACUGGAAUACAUAGAUUGAAGAUGAAACAUUCAAACUUCAGAGACUUUGAAGGUUUAGAGAACAAUAGAAUAGAGUGUUUAAAAUAAAAAUUGUCCCAGAAAAUCCUGGGUGUAAGCUCAUGCUACCUAUGAAAACCCACAUAGUCAGUAUACCAUCUCUGACAGGUCCUACAGGGGCAACCAAAAAGUCAUUUGGAAUGAGUAACACAUCUUGCACUAACAUACACAUGCUAGGGAGCUACUUCAAACAAUUGAGCUAAGACAUUAGCUUAGGAGUAUAAGAAAAGAAGGGGACGGGUGCGGUGGCUCACGCCUGCAAUCCCAGCACUUUGGGAGGCCGAGGCAGGCUGAUCACCUGAGGUCAGGAGUUCAAGAUCAGCCUAGCCAACAUGGCAAAACCCCAUCUCUACUAAAAAAAUAUGAAAAUUAGCCAGGUGUGGUGGUGCAUGCCUGUAAUCCCAGCUAUCGGGAGGCUGAUGCAAGAGAAUCGCUUGAACCAGGGAGGUGGAGUUUGCAGUGAGCCGAGAUCGCGCCACUGCACUCCAGCCUGGGUGACAGAGUAAGACUCUGUCUCAGAUAAAUAAAUAAAUAAAUAAAUAAAUAAAUAAAUAAAAAUAUUUUAAAAAGGGAAAGAAAAGAAAAGAGGGGCUAGUAUUUGGAAGAAUUAAUACACCUUUGAGGGACCAAUUUUGUCGAAGAGGCAUAGAGGAACAGGAGACAACCCAAUGAUAAGUAUAGGCAAAACCAUAAAGGGGAAAAAGAAACCAAGAUACUGAGCUACACAUAAAAGAAAGUGGUUUCUCCUUCCUCCUGGUAAUAUGAGAGAUGGCUUUCUGAGUGAUGUGUGCUGCCUUGACAUUGAGGCACUUGCAGUUUUUGAGUGUCCAGUGAUCUCCGUCACCUCUGUACUUCGAUACAUAGUUUCUCCUACCUGGAAUGCUGUUUUCCAUCCUUGCCUUACUAUAAAACAUCCAUUCUUCUUGAAGUCCCAGUUUAAAUAUCUUGUCCUCAUUGAUGCCCUUGCUGAUUUGCUCUUUCCAACUCCCUCCAUAGCAGAGUGGAUCACUCGACAGCUUAGCAACAAAUAUUUGUUGUGUGUCUGAUGUAAGUGGGGCUCUGAGCUAGACACUGGAGAUGAAACAGACCCAGUUUCUGCUCUUGUGAAGAUUUCCCCAGGGGGUGCCACUGCUGAGCCUUAAAAAAGAUACAUUCUACCAUUAUUUAUAUAAUACUUACACAUUGUUUUGAAAUUAUUUACGUGUUUGUAUCCCCUAUUAGACUGUGAAUCCUUGAGGGCAAGCACUGUCUUAAUCCAGUUUUUAUCUUCAAUACCUAGCAGAUUGCCUGGAAUAUAACAGUAACUAAAUGUAUGUAUAUAUAAUGAAUGAAUCUUCUUAGCAUGUUUAUCUUUUGUAAAUUUUCAAACCUUAAGCAUGUACUCAUUCAUCCUUCAUCUUCCAACGCUUCCAUUUUCCUAUAGAAGAGUCUCCAGGGGGAAUCAUCUAGUACCUUCUACAGACUUUUAUUUUCAGAUUUAAUAUCUAUCUUGAGGUGAUCAACCAAAACUGUGGCAGAAUGAUUGUGGCAGGUGGCAUUACAAUGAAUUUGUUUUAUUUUACAUGGCCAUUAUCUGAAACUUUAGAUGCACAAAAAAUAUGCAUUAUUGGGAAUUGUUUUAAUUUUUCAUCACAUGAUUCUUUUAUCUAGCAAGUUCUUCCAGUAUAUUUGAAACAUGAUUCAGUUUACAGAACAUUGAUUUACAAAUAGCUUUAUCAGCAAUAUGUCUAUUGUUUGAAAUAUACAACAGCAAGAUAUGGGAGAAGGAUGAAUGCUAAGUUAAUUAAGAAGAGGGAACAUAAAGCUUUAAUCAAUAGACAUAACAAAUAAAAUGUACUUUAGACUAACAUUAUGGCCAGGUAAGUGGUGGGGAGAGGGACAGAUGAAAAUGGAUGGGCAUGUGCAGUAAGGGGUGGGAUGAAGAGAUACCCAGGGGGAAAGCAAAGAUGAAGAAAACGGAUGGCAGGGAAUGAGAGAGAGUUGGAUGUGUGGGCUGUCAGCAGCAAGGGAGGACAUUCAGAGACUGGAAAUACAAAGCCAUCACACCUCAGAGCAAACAGAAGCAAUGCAGGUGUGUGGAAGGACCCAGCCAUUGCCAGGCAAAGGCCAGUGAAGGCCACAGGUUUAGGAGAGCCAUGAAGAGCUGGGGAGCCAUGAGAAAGGAGGGCAGACAGGCAGUAGAUGGCACCAGGAUGACCUUGGUUCCUGGCCAAAAUCUGUCUUAACUAGAUACUGCACACAUGAGGGUAUUGAUGGAAUUGGAAAAUUAGUAAGAAACGUCAAUAAUUGUGCCUUUAUGCUUGUAUUUCUUUAAAAAUUUUUUUUUUUUGAGAUGGAGUCUUGCUGUGUUGCCCAAGCUGGCGUGCAGUGGCACGAUCUAGGCUCACUGUAACCUUCACUUCCUGGGUUCAAAUGAUUAUCGUAGUGAUUCUCCUGCCUCAGCAUCCCGAGUAGCUGGGAGUACAGGCACCUACCACCAUGCCGGGCUAAUUUUUUAAUAUUUUUAGUAGAGACAGGGUUUCACCAUGUUGGCCAGGCUGGUUUCGAACUCCUGACCUGAUCUGCCUGCCUUGGCCUCCCAACGUACUAGGAUUACAGGUGUGAGCCACCACACCCAGCCUAUUUCUUUAAAAUUUUUACAAAUACUUUAAAAAAUUACACUAAGAAGAAAAGCACUGUGCUAAUUAAUACAGGAAAUACUAGACAAGUUUUCAAAGAGUUUAUGGAGGUAAGACAAAUAUAUAAAUAACCAUAAUAAGGAUCAAAUAUAUUUGUCAAGAACUCUCCAUCCUGUUUCAUUGUUAUUUAAUACUUAAGCUAUAUUUAACAUAUUAUUAAAGUAAUCAUAAUAAACAUGUUUAAGCCACACAGAGAGGCUACCCACCUACCCCACACAGGUAACUACCCUUUAAAAAAAUUAAGUCUUUACUUUUAGAGCAGUUUAGGUUUACAGAAAAAUUGAGCAGAAGGUACAAAUAGUUUCCAUAUACCUCUAUAACUGAUUUUUAAAUUUUUUGAUAUUUAGUUGUUCUGAUGUUCAUCAUUACAACCUUAAAUGGUCACUAAUACUUUCUUUUCUUGAUUUAUUAAUGCUAGAUUGUAUUUAUUGACUUCCUGACAUGAAGGAUGACCUAUUUGUUUCACUUAUAUUUUCUCCCAGCCUCUCUUCUUUUUUUCUUGUUUCAAUUUUUGUUACAUUCAUAUUUUUUAUUUGAAUUUAUACUUCUGCAAUGAAACUUUUCUUGUUUUGACUAUAUGCUUAUUCAAAAAAUUUAAACCUACAAACAGCAUUUUCUAUGUUAUGAUUAUGUGAAGAUUAUCCAGUCGUAUCAGACUUAGUGCCUGGUCAUACAGAAGGAAAUAUCAUCUGGUGUCACUAAACCAUUGAUGCUAAAAGAGAAUAUCUCAAGCGUCAAGGUCCACUGAAUCAUUGUUUAAUUUAUUUUCAACUUUCUUCAUUUCUUUUAGGUCAUAUUCAGCCACCACAGUCUUAUAUCUUAUAUUGUAUUUUUAUAUCUCUUUUUAAUUUUGUUGCAUUAGCUUCUAGCAUCUUUUUUUUUUUUCUACAUGAAACAUAAGUUUUCCAAAUUCUACAUGACCAAAAAAUGCCUUAUUUUGCUCACAUUUGACUUAAUGAUUUGAACAUAGGUGGGUUUUAAGGAUUAAAAAUACUUCCUCACAACUUUAAAAACACUAUUUGAUUGUGUUCUAGUACCCAGACUUGUUGCUGAGAAUGAAUGUGACACUUUACUUCACUAAAUACAUGUAUUCUUUAAAUUACCUAGAAAAGGGCCUGGCAUGAAAUAAGUGCUGUAUUCGUGGUUGAUAAAUAAAAUCACCAAGACUUUUGUCUGAUCUUUCUCUUAUAGGUGAUUACAUAUUUUCUGUUUGCAAACUUUUAGGAUUUUUUUCUUUAUCGUUGGAAUUUUGAAAUUUGGUCAGAGACAUCCAUUGUCUCUGUCUUCUAUUUUUGGAAUGUUUAUUAAACAGCUGUUGGACUCCUUGACUCUAUCCUCCAUAUCACCUAACUUUUCCCUCUACAUUUUCCAUUUUGCUUUGUCUUCUGGAUCAACACCUGAGUUGUUUUAUAGAAAUGAAACUAUGUGACUGCUGGGUAUAUUAAUUAGAUUUCUUAAAAUUUCAUUCUGUGUUCUCUGGACCUUGAAAUACUUCUUUCUUCUUGAGUCAGCUAUUUGGUUUAGUCACUGUGUUAAAGCUUCUUUCUCUAGUUCUUGCUCAAAUGUCUAGUGAGUCCUGGUUAUUGGUUAAUACACAUGAAUGCAUGAAGAGCUAGAUUGAUUAGUGUAUAUUGCUGUUAUGGUUUCUUAUUUCGUUGGGCUGGUGUGUGCCUGCAGGACUUCCUCUCAUGGGAGGGAAAGUAAGUGAGUGAGUCACAUGAAGGGCACUUUGAGGUGAAGCAGGCAUUUGUCUUCAGCUGCCACAGCAGCUCAAGUCAGAAAGGGCUUGCUCCAGGGAAGGAUACCUGAAGAAGAGCUCUCUCCUCCUCUUGUACUUCCUCCUCCUCCCUCCUCAUUUUCUUGUUCGAGCUUUUCCUCCUCAUCCUCCUCCCCCUUUCCUUUAUGAUUUGAGGUGGAGUAUGGAAGUGCAUGAACCUUUGCCCUCCUUCUCCCUCUGCCCCAAGCAUCCACACAUUGAUCCUCACUUAGACAAUUGUCCAUUUUGUUAAGGAGUAUUUGUAAAGCUUCCUCCAAGUAGACAAAAGUUCUGCUAUUUGUAUUCUGUAUACCUUGAAGAGGAGUCAACACUUUCCUGUCUCAGUUGAUCUAAAAAGAAUUAUUCAGUGAACUUGUCUGAUGGCCUCAGAGCCUAUUUCUGCUUUUUGUUGUUUAUCGACACCAAGUUGCUUGUCUUGUUUCCAGCUUCUCCUGGGAGAAACACCUCCUACUUCUGGUGUUUUGGAUGGUGAUGUCCCUUCUAUUUCAUCUUUCUUCUGUCUUUCAGUAUUUCUUCAAACUUUCUGAUGCCCGAAUUGCUCUCUUUCUUAUGUGAUAUCCUUGUUAUGAUUUCACCCUUUAACCAAUAUCCUUUUAGUUAUGUCACUGGGAACUUGGGUUGGAAAAGAGGUAGUUGUGUAUGCUCAUUAGGCCUUCUUGAAAUGGGAGCUUCUAUUUAAAGGUACUAUAUGAAUAGAAAAAUCAUGCUAAGUACUGCUUCUCACUUGACUACACUAAUGGGAAACAGUGCUUCCUGGACUUUUUUUUUCCCCUUAAGAGGGAAUUAGCUGGUGACAAAUUUGAAUCCUGGCCAAAUGCUUGAGGAAGAGGGAAGCUUCAUUAUUAGUAGCCCUGGAAACCCAGAUAUCUACAAAAGUGUAGCCAACACAACUGUCACUUGCUGUUCCUGACAGCUUCCAUACUUGCUGGAAAGUGCAACCACCAUUUCUUCUACCACCUUGACGGCUGCUGCUCUGGGAAUAUGGAAAAACAUGAAGCCUAAACAGUUUUAUUCUCUAAAGUGGGAAUGGCUCAUAAAGAUGUGAGGAGGAAGCAUUCUUUAUGAGGCCUUUUGAAAAUGUCCUCCUUCCUUGUGACUUAGAGUAACACAUCUCUCCUCCUAAAGUAUUCAGCUGGUGGGUGAUGGAGAACAGGGAUGCUCUUAAGAUUCCGGAAAUUUUCAACACAGCAAACACUAUUUCCAGUUUUUCUCAAAACCUUUUGAUUACCAACUUGUGCUUGGAGCCAUCCUGAAAAAAAUCCAAGUUGGUAUAUUUUAUGGGUUUUAUUAUAGUGCUAUUUAUUCUCCAUUUCUGAUAGAUAAAACCAGUGUUAAAUAUGCAGGCUGCAGCUCUGAAACUCCAAAACAGACUGGGUCUGUGUACUCUGCUUUCAGAGAAUCAGAGGGUGGGUGAGGGGUGGGCAGCUGUAAGAGCCAAUUCACAGCCUUCCACUGUGCCGCAGGGUGUAUGGCUCGUGGAUGCUAGCGAAAGCUGGCUUGGGAGUCAGGACACCUGGGGCUUCUGACUCAGCUUACAGGCUGUAGUAAUUGGCUUGUGUCUCUGAGCAAGUCAUUGAACCCCUCUGGACCUCAGUCUCCUCCUUCAUAAAAUGUUUAGGGUUUACUACCACCUCCUCAGGCAACUUCAUGCUGGGUGAUCUCCAAGGUUUAUUUUGAAUAUUCUGUCUCUUUUGAUGAGACUGCCUUUAACAACACACCAAGCAUUUCUGUAAGCAAAAAGAAUACAAGGAAAUAGAAUGCAGUGUUAGUCUGUUUAGGAAACAAUAUUCUCCAUGCCAUAGAUUUAUUCAGCCUAAGAAGGAGUGGAAUGUCCUUCAGUGGUAAAUGAUUUAAGUGAGGUAGUCUUACUAUAAUAGUAUUUCAACUAAAGAGUGUACUUAAGGGAAACUGUUGUGAGUAUGUGGAAUGACACAUCCAUAAAAUAUAUCUCCAGUAUUCUGUGUUUUUUUAGUGGCUGGGGCAAUGUUCAGAUUGAAUACCUCAGUUUAAAAGGGACAUGGAUAAAGAGGAGUACAUGUAAAACAAUAAAUUGAGGAAGAUUUAGGGGUGUGCAGGAGGAGUGGUAGGGGAAGGUAUAGAGAAACCACAGUGCAAAAGAAAAAAGUAAGAGGUGUGCAUAGCAACAUGUGUAGCUCCUAAAGACCACAUUUGAUAAAACAUCUGUGAUAUUACACACUUCCAUUUACAUGAACUAAAAAUACAUGCACCAAAACAAUAAUAUAUAUUAUGUAAGACCACACACAUACAAACAUAAUUUUAAGGCAAUUUAGUAAAAAGAAAAAGCUAGAGGACAUGGGAUUAUUCAGCUUGAUGAACAAAAGAUUUGAGAGGGAUGUGAUAUGUAUUUGUAAGUAAUUAAAGACUGUCCUGUGGAAAAGAGAAGAUUCACUCUGGAUAGCCCUUGAAGGGAGAUAUGGCACUGUCUACUCUGUAGUUUGGGGUGUUGGUCAAUACCAAGUACCUUUUGUCUGUCAGUGAAACCUUGCCAAAUAGGCCAAUUGGACAUAUUUAGGAGGGAGAAAAGGUAACUUGUGUUCGCUUACGUGAAAGUGACCUGCAUAUUGGACACAUUUGAUUAUACGAUGUCUAAUGUCCAUUACAUGGCUAAUAGUCUACAUACUAAGAUAUGAGUAGAACAACCUCCAAUUAACUCCAGAGUAGAUAGGAAAGACAGAGUUAUGAAGAUAUGUGUUGUUCAAGGGGAAAAUGCCAGAUGGCUAGCCACCAGAACAUCCCAAGAGUGAUGCUAGCUUGGUGAAUUUGCCCCUGCCUAGCACUGGGCUAGAAGUACCUAAUAGAACUAUCAUAAUAGCUGUUUUCAAACUUUAAUGUGCAUGCAGAUCACUUGGGGAACCUAUUUUUUAAAGCACCAUUCCCAGAUGAUGGCAAUGUGGGAGGUUUGGGCUGGGAUUAGAAGUUACUGCAGCUUAAACAACCUGGGUGAUUUAUAUAUAGGUGGUGGUUCGAGUCGGGCCAGAUGUUGUAGGCAGAAGUCAGGUUUUGAAAGAGGGCUUUAAUUCCUGACUUCUGGGGACCUUUUAACCCUGAGCUCCUGAGAUUCUCUGCCAACAGCUUGUAAGAGACCCCUAGCUGCACUCUUUCUCCAUUCUGCCUUGGUGGGUCUUGGGUUUCUCGCUUCCGGUUUCCCUGACUGUUGCAGAUAGUUCCUGUCUCUCUUAACAUGGACACUUGACAAGAGUUCCAGAAUAAUGACUAGUGAAUGUCGAUAUUCCUGGAGAUAAAAAUGUUGAUUUAGAAACAGAUACAAAUAUUUAGUACAGAGUUCUUGCUUUUUGGCUGCUAAUGAUUCUUUGAUACAUCAGUGAUCUUGAGUACUAAUUGCAUUUUUUCACAUUUAAAGCCGGUUGAUAAGGUUGGCUUUAGAAAUGAAAGUAGUUUUCUGAAAUUCUGUAUUUUUUAUUUGCUUACUAGUCACUUCUUCCUAACCUAUAUGCACAGGAGUCCAGUGGGCAGCCCUGUGGACAGGUGCAUAUUUCCCUGUAAAGCAGAGUCUCCAUGCCUGGCUGAGCAUCAGCAUCAGCUGGAAGUUUCUUAAAACAGGCAUUCUCAACGGCUUUCAAGUUCUGGUGUCUGAGUCUGACCCCCAGACGUUUCAAUUUAAUUGCUCUGAGAUCUGGCCUUGGCAUCAGGAUUUUAAAAAAAUCCCAGAGGUGGCUGGGCGCGGUGGCUCACGCCUGUAAUCCCAGCACUUUGGGAGGCAGAGGCGGGUGGAUCAUGAGGUCAGGAGAUCAAGACCAUCCUGGCUAACACGGUGAAGCCCCGUCUCUACUAAAAAUACAAAAAAAAAAAAAAAAAAAUUAGCCGGGCGUAGUGGCGGCCCCUCUAGUCCCAGCUACUCAGGAGGCUAAGGCAGGAGAAUGGCGUGAACCUGGGAGGCGGAGCUUGCAGUGAGCCGAGAUCACGCCACUGUGCUCCAGCCUGGGCGACUGAGACUCCUUCUCAAAAAAAAAAAAAAAAAAAAAAAAAAAAAAGAAAAGAAAAAAAUCCCAGAGGUAGUGUUACUGUGCAUUCAAGUUUGAGAACCACUGUUGUUAAGUAUAUUUUCAAGCCUCAACCUAGAGAUUUUGACUUGCUGUGUCUGGAGUGGGGCCGCAAUCUGCAUUUAAAACAUUCUCUAAUUAUUUCUGAUGUUCACUCUUAUUUGGAAACUAUCCGUACCAAUGCAAACAGCUGAGAUUGGGAACCAGGCAGAUUUGCUUUUAAUUCCUGUUUGGUUGUUCAUUAGCUGGCAACUUACAACCUUGGGCAAGUCCAUUAACCUCUCUAAGCUGUUUUUACAUCUGUAAAUGAGGGAUAAUAUGGCAUUGACUUCACGGUCCCACAGUUAAGUGUAGUGGUCACUCACCUCUACCCUGAAGUCAGACUGCUGGAGUUUGGAUCCCAACUCCUCCAUUGGAUAAUUGUGAAUCAUUGAGCAGAUUAUUCUAACCCUGUGCUUCUCAAACUUUCAUGUGCACAUGAAUCAUCUCAGGAACUUGUUAAAAUGCGGGUUUUGAUUUAAUACAUCUGAGGAGGGGCUGGGGUUUUGCAUUUCUAAGGAGCUCCCAGUUCAUAUUGAUGGUACAGACAGGGUGGGGACUGCCAGGCCCAGUGCAAAACGAGGGGCCCCUGGUUCAAAAAGCGAGAAGAAAAUAUUGUUAAAGGUACUAAAAUAUAAAGCUUUUUUCUUUCUUCCAGUCUCACUCAGCUUGUUAUGCUGUGUUUUGUUAUUUAAUGUUGUAAAGAAAUGCUGGAAUUUUAAAUUAUUAGUAUGGUUUAUAAUUUAUCUUUAUGUUGUUCAAUAUCAUUUUUAAAUGCAAAUAUAAGAGCAUUUAACUCAUAUAUGGAUUCACUGAAAUUAUACAAUUCAUAUAUAAUUAUAUAAUUCGUAUUUUGUAGCUGGUGCAUCCAUAUAUAAUUCUUUCUUACCAAAAUAGUGGUCGCACUACACAAAACAGCUGUUUUCAUUUCACUUUUUUAAAAAGUAUUUUAUUUUUCAAUUUUUUUUUAAACUUCUUUAAACUUUUGUUUUAGGUUCGAGGUACAUGCACAGGUUUGAUAUAUAGGUAAAUUGCAUGUCAUGGGGAUUUGGCAUAUAGAUUAUUUCAUCAACAAGGUAAUCAGCAUAGUAUCUAAUAGGUAGUUUUUUGAACCUCUUCCUCCUCCCACUUUCUACCCUCAAGAAUGAAUGCCGUGGUGUCUGUUGUUCCUUUCUUUGUGUUCAUGUAUACUCAAUGUUUAGCUCCCACUUCUAAGUGAGAACAUGUGGUAUUUGGUUUUCUGUUCCUGUGUUAGUUUGCUUAGGAUAAUGGUCUCCAGCUCCAUCCACGUUGCUGCAAAGAACAUGAUCUCAUUCCUUUUAUGGAUGCAUAGUUUUCCAUGGUGUUUGUCACAUUUUCUUUAUCCAGUCUACCAUUGAUGGGUGUUUGGGUUAAUUCCUUGUCUUUGAUAUUGUGAAUAGUGCUGCAAUGAACAUAUGCAUGCAUAUGUCUUUAUGGCAGAAUGAUUUAUACUUCCUUGGGUAAAUACCCAAUAGUGGGAUUGCUGGGUUGAAUGGUAAUUCUGUUUUAGGAACUUAAGCAAAUUUACAAGCAAAAAACAAACAACAACAAACAACACCAUUAAAAAGUGGGCAAAGAACAUGAACAGACACUUUUCAAAAGAAGAAAUACAUGCAGCCAACAAGCAUAUGAAAAAAUGCUCAGCAUCAUUAAUCAUUAGAGAAAUGCAAAUCAAAACCACAGUAAGGUACCAUCUUACACCAAUCAGAAUGGCUAUUACUAAAAAGUCAAAAAAUAACAGUUACUGGUGAGGCUUUGGAGAAAAGGGAAUGCAUAUACACUGUUGGUGGGGAUGUAAGUUAGUUCAGCUGUUGUGAAAAGCAGUUUGGUGAUUUCUCAAAGAACUUUAUUUUAGAUUCAGGAGUUACAUGUACAGGUUUGUUAUCUGGGUAUAUUGUGUAAUGUUCAGGUUUAAGCUUCUGUGAACCCAUCACCCAAAUACUGAAUGUAGUACCCAACAGGUAGUUUUUCAGUCCAUAUCCCUGCCCCCAGUGACUAUUAUUUCCAUCUUUAUGUCCAUGUGUACCCAUUAUUUAGCUCCCACUUAUAAGUAAGAACAUAUAAUAUUAGAUUUUCUGUUUCUGAUUUAGUUCCCUUAGGAUAAUGACUUCCAGUUCCAUCUAUGUUGCUAAAAAGGACAUGAUUUCAUUCUUUUUUAUGGUUGCAUAAUGCACAGUGUGUGUGUGUGUGUGUGUGUGUGUGUAUGUGUGUAUAUAUAUAUAUAUAUAUAUGCAUAUAUAAUAUUUUCUUUAGUCAACCAUUGAUGGACAGUAGGUUGAUUCUCUAACUUUACUGUUGUGAAUAGUGCUGUGAUAAACAAAAGCAGGUGUCUUUCUUAUAUAAUGAUUUCUUUUCCUUUGGGUAGAUGCCAAGUAGUGGGAUUGCUGUGUCCAAUGGUAGUUCUAUUUUUGUUCUUUGAGAAAUCUCCAUUGUAUUAGUCUGUUCGUAGCUGCUAAUAAAGACAUACCUGAGGCUGGGUAAUUUAUAAAGGGAAGAGGUUUAAUUGACUCACAGUUCCACAUGGCUGGGGAGGCUUCACAAUCAUGGUGGAAAAGCAAGGGAUGUCUUAUGUGGCGGCAGGAAAGAGAGAAUGAGAAUCAAGCGAAAGGGGAAAACCUUUAUAAAAUCAUCAGAUCUCCUGAGGCUUAUUCAUUACCAUGAGAACAGUGUGGGGGAAACCGCCACCAUGAUUCAAUUAUCUCCCACCGGGUUCCUCCCACAACACAUGGGAAUUAUGGGAGCGACAAUUCAAGAUGAGAUUUGGGUGGGGGACUCAGCCAAGCUAUAUCAUCCCUAUUAUUUUCCCUAGAGUUGUACUAAUUUACAUUCCCACCAACAAUGUAUAAGCAUUCCCUUUUCUCUUCAUCCUUGCCAACAUCUCUUAUAUUUUUUACUUUUUAAUAAUAACCAUUCUGACUGGUUUGAGAUAAUAUCUCACUGUGGUUUUAAUUUGCAUUUCUCUGAUGAUUAGUGAUGUUUAGCAUUUUUCUCAUAUAUUUGUUGGCCGCAUAUGUGUCUUCUUUUGAAGUGUCUGUUCAUGUCUUUUGCCCACUUUUUAAUGGGAUUGUUUUUUACUUGUUGAUUUGUGUUAGUUUCUUAUCGAUUCUGGGUAUUAGUCUUUUGUCAGAUGCAUAGUUUGCAAAUAUAUCUCCCACUUUGUAGGUUGUCUGUUUACUCUGUUGAUUGUUUCUUUACUGUGCAGAAACUCUUUAGUUUAAUUAAGUCCCAUUUAUCUAGUUUUGUUGCAUUUGCUCUUGAGGUGUUAGUCAUAAAUUCUUUACCUAGGCCAAUGUCCAGAAGGUUUUCCUAGGUUUUCUUAUAACAUUCUUAUAGUUUCAGGUCUUAUAUUUAAGUCUUGAAUCCAUCUUGGUUAAUUUUUCUAUAUGAUGAGAGAUAGGGAUCCAGUUUCCUUCCUCUGCAUAUGGCUAGCUAGUUUUCCCAGCACCAUUUAUUGAAUAGGGUGUCCUCUCUUUAUUGUUUAUUUUUGUCAGCUUUGUUGAAGAUCAGUUGGUUAUAGGUAUGUGGCUUUGCUGCAGGUUUCUCUAUUCUGUUCCACUGAUACAUGUGUAUAUUUUUGUCUAUUUUUAUAUGACACAUGUGUCUAUUUUUGUAUUAGUACCAUGCUGUUUGGUUACUAUAGAUUUGCAGAAUAGUUUGCAGUCAGGUAAUGUGAUGUCUCCAGCUUUGUUAUUUUUGCUUAGGAUUGCUUUUGCCAUUCAGGCUCUUUUUUGGUUCCAUAUGAAUUUUAGAAUUGUUUUUUCCAAUUCUGUGAAAAAUAAAACUGGUAAUGUGCUGAGAAUUGCAUUGAAUCUAUAGAUUGCUUUGAACAGCAUGGUCAUUUUCACAAUAUUGAUUCUUCCUAUCCAUGAGCAUAGGAUAUUUUUCCAUGGCUAUUGUAAAUGGGAUUGAGUUCUUAAUUUGGUUCUCAGCAUGAGCAUUGUUAGCAUAUAGAAAUGGAACUAAUUUUUAUACAAUGAUUUUGUAUCCUUAUUCUUUAUUGAAGAUGCUUUUCAAGUUAGGAGUCUUCUGUGGUAGUCUUUGGGGUUUUCUAGGUGUACAAUCAUGUCAUCAACAAACAGAGAUAAUUUGACUCGCUCUUUCCCAAUUUGGAUGCUGGUCCUCUGCGGUUGCCAAAGUCAGAGAAGUUUCUAGGGUAUGUUGGUGGGGGUAUCUGGUGAUGUAGUAACUCAAGGUGUAAGGUUCCCCAGGCAGAGAGCAGUGGCCCACAAUAAUUACACAACCACUCUGGUGCUUGCCAUCUCAGUUCAGGCCUGAGGGGAGUACAGGUGCCCCUGCGUGAGCUGGCCCCUGGUUCUCUGUCCCCGGGAAGUCCUCAAAUCACUACUAACAGCAUUGCACUGGGUUGUGAGGGCAGAGGUACUCCUUGACAAUUUAGCAGUCAGGAGAUUGUUCCAGGGGUGAGGGGAGCACAGAAGCACCCCCACCUACCCUUUCCAUGUGGCUUCGAGUUCCUCAGGGGUCCAUCUUUGCCAGAUGCCUGCUGCUUUGCUUUUCUGCAUCCCAGCUUCUUCCCGUGGGCACUCUGACAGAGCCUGGCUCUCUUCCUUUAGUUUUCCAUUCAGAUGAUGACCAUUCACCUGGAACAUUGAACUUCUUUGAGGAGAACUGACAUCUGAUGUUCCUAGUCAGCCAUCAUGAAAAAGAAAUUAUUUCACUUCUUGAUACACACAUACAUAGUCUAUAAUAUUUUCUACCUUCAGGUUAUUUAUGAGUAGGGAAGAAUUCAAAGAAAAGGAGCUGUGAGUUUCUCUUAUCUUUUCCUCCUGUGUCAUUUUCAGCAUGUGUCUGACUAACACAGGGAUGAAAGGAUUCCUUGGUAGCUUGUGCUUCUUAGAAUGCCAUUUUCUUCUUUCUGUAUUCAAAGCAUGUGCCGUUGCAAAAGGAAGGUAUGGUUUCUUGGAGCUGCCACCACUCUCGCUUACUAAGUCAUGGACUUAACAUGCUUACCUUGUACUUGCUUUGAGUCUUACUGAACUCCCACAUAUCAUGAGUCCAAUGGAAUUCUGUGAUUAUGGACAUUGCAAAUGCUAUUUGUGAAUGGGGUGUCAAGGAAUGGUAAAUAUAUAUGUUGCCUGCAUCGCCUUUGUGUGUGUGUGUGUUUCAGUGCAUUUUUACUUACAAAACGCAAGUUGAAAGAUAAAAUUGUUAAAAAAUUCAAGACAACAGAACAUUAAACAAAGUGUGGCCAUCCUAAGCGAAUGACCCCAUGUGACUGUAGAAGUUGUACACCCAGGCCAGGCGCAGUGGCUCAUGCCUGUAAUCCCAGGACUUUGGGAGGCCGAGGCAGGCAGAUCACCUGAGGUCAGGAGUUCGAGACCAGCCUGGCCAACAUGGUGAAACCCCCUCUCUACUAAAAAUACAAAAAUUAGCUGGGUGUGGUGGCAGGUGCCUGUAGUCCUAGCUACUUGGGAGGCUGAGGCAGGAGAAUUGCUUGAACCUGGGAGGCAGAUGUUGCAGUGAGCCGAGAUCGUGCCAUUGCACUCCAGCCUGGCUGGGGGACAAGAGCGAGACUUCAUCUCAAAAAAAAAAAAAAAAAAAAAAAGAAGUUGCACACCCAUGAAGCCAACCCAUGCCAUAUUUGAGUAGCAAGGAUCUAGUCUCUCCAGGAUUGCUAUGAACUGAGAGUAGAGAAACGGUACGUACCUUGCAGGCAGAUCCCAUCAUGUAGUAGGACUUAGCAAAUGUUGAUUCCUUUGUUUUCUUGUUUUCCCACUUCUCCCCUCUGAAGAAAUAGUUGCUCCAUAGAAAAUCCUCCACAGUACUGAAAUGAGGCUGCCUCACCAUUGGGGAUAGUGAAAAGGACAAUUUCCUUUGAACACACUCAUUUUCUGAUUGAAGAGUAAGUAACCCAGGGCUGGGCUGGGCUUUUUCUCCAGCCCUGAGAAGAGAUAUAUGACUCAUCAUGGCCAAGUGUGGUCAGGGGCCUAGGAACUCCUGUAUUAGAGUUCUAGGGAAGAAAAAGAGAACUAGUUUCUCAAUCACUGAGUGGGAGGACUGCAGCAUUUGCCUGUGUUUGUCCCUUGUCUUCCUGCUGCUUUUGUUCUCUGAGCUAAUUCCUGUUUGAAGAGCUGAUAUUUAAUUCAACAGCCCCCCAUGGAGCCUUGUGCCUGUGAUAGAAGUUUCUAAAAAUCUCUCAGUCAACAACAUGAUAACAGCUGCUCUUUGAAACUCUGGGAGCUCUAGAUUGGGGAGGUGCUGGGGGAGGGAGAACUAAGGGAGCCAGGGAUUGGGGCUGGGGAAUGCACUAUUUGUUAAGGAUAAUGAGGCAAAAAUGUGACAGAGGUUUUUAUUACAAAUAAUAGACAGAAGUCUUCAAACAACAGCAGAGAGUCAUUAAAAAAAGAAACAGAGUUAAAUAAUUGUCUAAUUAGCAGGCACCAAGAAGGAAAAAUUUAUUCCAUUAGAACUUCUUAAGGGAGAGUCAAUAAAUUCACAGCUGGGUGUUCGCUUUCUCAGGAAUACAGAGAAUGUGGAUUUUCCUGGUGCCAAGUUGUUCUUCCAUUCCUCGGCCAAGUUUCCAUUCUGAUUAACUCAAGGUGAGCCUUACCUCAGAGAACUGCUAGGUUCAAUUGCUUUACUCAAUCAUGUUAUUAAGCUCUGGCCCAACUAGUGGGACUUAAAGUCAGGAACUGCAGGUACUGCUACUAUUAACAAUUCUAUCAGCUGAUAUGCACAUAGUGCUUCCCAGCUUAUGAAACAUGUUGACAUAGAUUAUUUCAUCAAAUUCUUACAGCCAGUCAGUAAGCGUGGCUGAGCUUGUAUGAAUGUUGAGCAUGGGUAGCAACCACCUGGUGGGAACCCAAACCAUCUGGAGCCAUGCAGAUCACUGUCUGCAUUAAUAUGACUUAUUUCAAGAAAUUCUUGCCCAGGAAUACGAUGUUGCGAAUUAUUAUUUGGCUAUAAGACUUCCUGGAACCCAUUUAUCUGAAUGAAAGAUGAUCCAACUAUCCCUUGUUAGAAUAAAUAACUCACUUUUGGGACAAGAGGUCACUUCAGACUUACCAUGCCACUGUUUACUCUUCCAGAUUCACUUGGAACCCUUUCCUUGCUAUGGCCAUUAAUCCUAAACUGCUUUAUCAGGAACUUGGCCCAAUCUGAGUUAGUUUCCUUCCUUGGAUACCUGCCUUAAACCAGAUCCUCAAACCUCAUAAAUAUCCCUCCUAGAAAAUAAGACUCUGUCAAGGGAGUAUUCUUUCUUAUUUCAGUAGGCAAUGAACUUGAUGCUGUUUUAUCAACAAGUUGAUUAAGUGAUGAUUAGGGUAUCAGUAAUCAACAUUGAUUUGAACCCUGGCUAGCUACAACACUUCCUAGCUGUGUGAUCUUGGGAAACAUUUCUGAGAUGGUUAAUACUGAGUGUCAACUUGAUUGGACUGAAGGAUGUAAAGUAUUGUUCCUGGGUGUGUCUGUAAGGGUGUUGCCAAAGGAGAUCAAUGGACUGGGAGAGGCAGACCCACCCUCAAUCUGGGUGGGCACCAUCUAACCAACUGCUAGCGUGGCUAGAAUAAAGCAGGCAGAAGGACGUGGAAGGACUUGACUUCCUGAAUCUUCUGGUCCUCAUCUUUUCCCCGUGCUGGAUGCUUGCUGCCCUCAAACAUCGGACUCCAAGUUCUUCAGCUUUGGGACUCUUGGACUUACAAGCUCUCUGGCCUUCGGCAACAGACUGAAGGCUGCACUUUCGGAUUCCCUACUUUUGAGAUUUUGGGACUCAGACUGGCUUCCUGGUUCCUCAGCUUGCAGACGGCCUAUUGUAGGACUUCACAAGGUGAUGUCAAUUCUCCUAAUAAAUGCCCCUUCAUCAUAUAUACAUCUAUCCUAUUUGUUCUGUCCCUCUAGAGAAACCUAAUACAAUUUCUUAACCUGUCUGUGCCUCAUUUUUUGCGUAUUUAAAAUGAGUGCCAACCACAGUGGGUUAUUAUAAGUUUUAAAUGAGUUAAUACAGGAGAAGCCCUCAUGUACUUGGCAUAUAACAGGAUCUCAAUAAAUAUGGGAAACGUUGCUCAAAGGGCAGAAACUUUUCAUUAUAAAUUAUGGAGAUCUCAUGUGCAGCCUGGUGACUGUAGUAAAUAAUACUGUAUAAUACUGUAUCGUUUACUUGAAAUUUGAUAAGAGAGUAGAUUUUUGUGUCCUUAACACACACACACACACACACACACACAUAUGUAACUAUGCAUGGUGAUGGAUGUGUUAGUUUUACUGCAGUAAUCAUUAUAUAGUAUAUAUGUACAUCAGAUUAUCAUGUAAUAACUGAAUAUAUACACUUUUUCUCAAAUAUGUUGCAAUAAAAAAUACACAUGUAGCCAUAUAUAUAAUCUACCUUUAUAUUUAUUGCUUAUAUAUUAUUUAUAUAUUAUUUAAAUCUGUCAAAUGGGCUGACCAAUGCUCUCAUCCAUUUUCCUGAUAUACACUUCCCUAAAGCAAAGCUGCCUAAGGGAAAUAAAAUACCAUAUGCUUUUGAUUCACAAUGACAUUACAUACUUAAUUUCCUCCAUUUCUAAAAUGGCAUCAGCUAGAAAAUAUCAAUUUAAACAUAGUUGAGGGCAAAAAAAGGUAACACUACCAUACUAAGUGUAUACAUUAGUUAUAACGUGCAUACCAUUUUCAGAAAUUAUAAAAUGUAGGACAAACUAUCUAAGGAUUAAGUGAAAUUGCAGUUCUCUCCUGAAGCCUUCAGAGAACUCAUGGGGAAAAUGGAAGUUUCUUUGAGGUGCUUUCAAACCCAUCACUAUAGCUAAGUGCUUUAUGAGUCCCUCCUGGGGGCAGGAGAGGCCAGCUUGGAGAAAAGGGCAGUGAGUGUAAAUUCAUUCACACAUUUGAGUACCUCACAGAUUUGGUCUUGGGGCCCUAUGUUUGCAGAUACUUGGAGUGUGUUUGUUGCAGGCUGGAGCUAAUGUUAGCCUAAGGGAGGCCUAGGAGAGGAACCCUCCUCCCACAGAGCUGGCACUCUGCUUGGCUGUGCUGACAGAAAGUAUUGAUGCAGCCAUCAUUUGCUGUCUCAUAGAGAACAUUUGCUUCAUGUCUACUCAUUGGUCUCUUCCUCCUUAGUCUCACCUCAUAGCCUAUUCAUUACCGCUGAAAGUGAUUCAGAUUGUCAAGGCCCAUCUUCUAUACAGCGCUUCCCAAAGUGACGUCGGUAGACCAGUACCAGUAAGAAAACUGUUUCUAGUCUGAUAAGGUGAGUAGAGAAAUUGAGAGUGUUUAGACAUUUUAUAGCCAUUUAACCUAGCCAUGAAAUCCUAGUAGAUGAUCAAUGACCUUAUCUCACUGAAUAGGGUAUGGGAAAUUUCAGGUAUUGUGUUCUGCCCAUGGUGAGGUGCAUAGAGGGCAAGCUACAUACUGCUCAUGUGCAGUGGCACUACAUUCUAGCCUGCAGUGGGCUGAACAUUAAACAAUCAAACAGAGCAAACAAUUAAAAAGACUGGCCCAUCACCACAGAUAGACUGAGAAUACUGUUCUAAAAGGUAGUCAUUUUUAUAUGGACGUAUAUAUUGUACCUGGCCUUUCAGCAGCUGCCACCGUAUCAUGGAAAGGCCUUGGAACACUAACCUGGGACCAAGAGUUCCCAGCCCAAAUAGCUGAGAAUGAUUAAUGUUUAUAGUUCAUUUGUAUUUGACAUUGUUCUAUAAACCAAAAUGUAAUGCUGUAUUAAAGCUGUCUAGAUGUGGACAAGUAUGGAUUGCCUACUUCUUUACUACAUGAAAAUUAUGGUUUGAAGCAAGUUUUAAAGAAACUGUGGAAUGUAGACAUACAUCAGCAUACUUCUGCGGUGUUCAGUAUUAAUCAGAACAUGAUGUUGGCUUGUGGCAUCACUGGUCUCACUUCCAGUGUGAAGCCUUUCUGAGCUGUCCUUCCUAUAGUUCAGGAAUACUUUUGGUGUUAGGAAAAUAAGUAUUUCCUUCCAGAGGCUCUAGAAGUUUUUCUUUAUCAAAGCAAAGUGAUAAGAUGCUCUCUUAACAGUCAUUCAUUUCAAAGGGCAAUUUCUUAAUGACUUGACCCUCUAACUCUCUCAUAGUUAGACCAUGAGAAUGUACCUUAAUUAAAACAAAAGUUUACUUGAUUUAGAUUAAGCAACUAUAUCAAAGGUCUUCCCCUUCUUUCUCUUCAAUAAUCCUCUAACAUUCCUUAAGUUUCUAACUAUAGCUGACAAAAUUGUUUUUAAUGUAAAAUUUAUACAUUUCUUCCCUAUGGAAUUAUGUGUGUGUGUGUGUGUGUGUGUGUGUGUGUGUGUGUGUAUAUAUAUAUAGUUUGAAUAGACAGACUGUUUUAACAUUGUUUUUCAGAGUCACUUGCAGUAUCUAUCUGUUUCUGAACCCUCUCUGUUGUAUGUUAACUUGAAAGUUACAAGUUGAGCAUCCCUAAUCAGAAGAUCUUCAAACCAUAAUGCUCAACAAUCCCAAACAUUUUGAGUGACAACGUGAUGCUCAGAGGAAAUGCUCAUUGCAGCGUACUGGAUUUCAAAUUUUAAGAUCAGAGAUGCUCAAUCGGUAUGCAUUUCUGCAAAUACAGUCAUGUGUCACUUAAUGAAGGGGCUGCAUUCUGGGAAAUGUGUCAUCAGGUGAUUUCAUCAUUAUGUAAAAACCAUAGGGUGUACUUAUACAAACCUAGAUUUUAUAGCCUACUACACACCUAGCCAAUAUUAUUCCCUACCCCUAAACCUUCCAUUACCUUCUCACUUCCUACAGAAGAAGCUCUAGACUCUUCAGGGACUGGGCUCCCCUAAAUGGCUUUUCUAAUUUUGUUUUCCACCAAAUCCCCCAUUGUCCUAUGUUCUAGUCCUAUAAAUAAUGAAUAUGUGUCUUUCUCUUUCACAUUCUAGGCCUUCAGUUAUAUUCACCCGUCAACCUACAAUGCCUUUUCCUUUAUUCUCACCCUUUUGUGCUCCAGUCCUACAUCCUUCUUAAAUCCUUCUUGGUUCCUCCCAUGUAGAAUGAGCUGUACCUCUGUGGGGCCUCCAUAGACAUUCCUUGUACCUCAGGCUAGUGCUUUUUUAAAUUCUGUCAUAUUUUCUAAUUAGUCGUUCUGAGACUGUCCUGAUGAAAUUAUAUGCAUUUUUGAGAGCAGGGGAAGUGUUGCAUUCUUCCCUUCUCCAACACAAGCAUGAUGUCUUGGUGACAUCCGGCUUUCAAUGUUGGUAGAAUGAUUGAAUAUGGGUGACACAGGAGCAACUAAGGAGAUACAGCCCAAGCUGUAACAUAUUGUUUUUUCCAUACUACUCUGUUUGCUACCUGGUUCUUCACUGCAGUGGCAGCCUGCUCAACAGUGGGGACCCUAGUCCUUUCCUGACUAUCAAACACCUGUGCUUUUAAAAAUCAUGAUGAAUUGCCUGCGUUUUCUCAUGUUAGGUUUAUAGCAAUACUUUUCUUAGAGCUUCUUCUGAUGUCUCUUCAAUCCCUUCCUCAGUUUUAGUAAACAUGUAGUCUUUUAUAAUAUUUGAAAAUACUGUAUGUUUGUAGAACUUAUAGUAGUAAAGUGAAUAAAUUUCAGCCAAAGAGCAGGAAUUCCACGUUGAGGUCAGAGAAAGUAUGGAAUGUUGUUCAUUAUCCAUAUAUCACUGCGGCAAGAAUCCAAGAUAUUUUGUAAAUGGCCCAAGAUCAAUAGUGAUAAGUGGCCUGAGAGAUCAUACACCAAGACUUUCUAGAGGCAGUUGCAAAAUGUGAUGUUGCUAGUUAUAAUCAGACUUUUUCCAAUUUCCUAUUAUAGGUAGUUACGUUAUUAAUAUGUUUUUCAUUCAGUGGCUUUUCUUUUGUGUUUAUAAUUUAGAAUGAACACAUUCAAAAGCUUCCUAAUAAUGUUUUUGAAUUAUUUUUACAGGUGUGAUGUUAAACUGAGAAACUACAUUUUCUUUUGUUUGGCUUCAAAUGCGUUGAUUUCCUUGUGUGAGAUGGGUUUGCUUUAUCUAUCAUAUUUUACACUUUUAUUCUUGUAUUUGUUUCACACUGUACGUUUCCUUCAUGAAAAUUGUUACACACUUAUAGGAUUCUUGGUUUAAUAUCUGUCUCCCCUGCUAGACCGUAAGCUCUAUGAGGACAGGACAAUGUGUGGCCUGUUCAUCCCUGUAUUAGUAACUAGCCAGUGCCAGGCACACAUGUAUCAGUGCUCAAUAAAUAUUUGUUGAUUAAAUAAAUGAAUCUAUUAUUUAUUCAUUAUAUAUUUUCUACUUUCUACCAUUGUUCCCCCAUGUAAUUUUGAACAGAAAUGAAGAAAACUGGCCACUUAUCUAUGUGAAUCUUGUGUCCCCCCUGAUGUUUUGUUUUGAAUCUGCAAAAACAAAGGUACUUUAGUCAGUUUCAGUCUGGGGGCAGAGCCAUUUUGAGUCAUAAAGAACAGUUUUACAAUAGGAUGACCCAACACAGUUGAAGGGUUAAAUUACAGGGAAGAAAAUCACUCAGCUACAUGCUAAUGUAGCAAUGGGUGAGGGAUUGAUUUAAAAAGUGUUUACAUUCAAUCCUUUAUUUCCUCCUUUGCUAUAACUCUCUAUCCUCCUUUACUUAUUUAUUUCAUGACUCCCUGGGUUAUUAUUUCAGCUUUACCCCAGAUUAGGGGUAGAGACUAGGAUCAUAACAGCUAUCUUUUUCUUCUCCUAAGUGUAAGAGGUGCUCAUUGGAGCUACCUUAUGGGUACAGCAGAAUAGAGACUAGGAAUGCAGGUUGGGUCUCUUUUCUUAGCAAUAUGGACUCAGGACACCAUAAAGUAAAUGGAAGGAUAAAAUGAGAGCAAAAUACUUUCAAAACUCCUUAUAGUUUAUGUGUUCAAUAAAUAUUAAGUUGCUAUUAUACGCAAGGCAUUGUUCUAAAUACUUAUAGUUUAUUGCUUAUGAUUAACUUUAGUUAACCGCAGAUUAAAAAUACUUAUCAGUGUAGAUACUGAAUGGGUUUUAGUGUGAAUUACUAAUCCCUCUUCCUAGUGGACACUGAAGCUAAGAAUGGCUACUCAUUUUCUCUCCUGCUGUGCAUCCUCUUGUUUUUUACCUUCCAGUUCUUCUUCCUUGGCCAGAGCUAAAAAGUGUUGGUCCAUGCCAAAUUGGGUAGUUAUUGGUAGCAAAAUUGGUUGUGCUCCCUGGAGAAAUCUCUUGCUCCUUAUGUUACUACUCAAAGGCCAGUCCCUUGUAUACUCAGAGCUCAAGCCCGGUGCAGCUCAUAUUCCUUCUGUUGUUAUGCUGUUGUUACCAGCUGAUUGUAUACCACUUUCUGUAACACAGUACAUUAGAAGUUAUGGCUACUUUUUAUGCAACUCUUCCUAGAAAUAAAAAGAUUAUCUUUAUAAUAAAGGAGCUAUCUUGAAGAUAGUGUUUUUUAAUUUUUAAACUUAAAUUUCUUUUUAUAGUUUUAAGGCAAAAAACAAAAGAGCUCUUUCUGUGGAGAGCUGCAUGAAAAACUAUUUCUCCAUUUCUCUAAAGCCCUUUCAUACUGAACAUUUCUAAUCUUUCAGUGCAAGUGCAUUCUUUCUGAGAGAUGGCUCAUCUCUUGGACUAUUUGUCUGGGAGAUUUGUGAGAGAUUUCUGCUGCUGACUGAGGCAAAAAUUUGCUUUUGAGCUUUUUCCCACUCCCCAUGUAAAUACCAAUUUUCUGUCACUUUGUGAAUUAUGUUUCCUCUCUCUCUCUCUCUCUCUCUCUCUCUCUCUACCAUAGUGAUAUACAUGCCACAUAGAUAAGUUCUUCAAACCUUUACAUUCCAGGUCAAAAAUUAUCCUUGGCCCAUAUGGUUGUUUCCCUUCUUUCCUGUGUUUGAAAAUAAAGCAUAAUGUAAAGGGGAUCAUUUGGGAAGUAGACCCAGUGUCUGGUGUCAUUAUAGACAAAAUAUCAACCUAGGUCUUCAUCUAUUUCAUUAGGGAGUGUGACAUUAAUUUUGUGUGUCAAUCUGACCAGGCUGUGGAGUGCUGAGAUGUUUGGUUAAACAUUACUCUGGAUGUGCCUGUGAGGGUGUUUCUGGAUGAGAUUAACAUUUGAGUCACUAGACUGAGUAAAGCACAUUUCCCCCACCCCAUGUAGGUAGGCCUCACCCAAUCGUUGAAGGCCAGAAUAUAACAAAAGUCUGAAUGAGGAAGAAUUUGCUCUCUCUGCCCAUCUUUGAGUUGGGACAUGGGUUUUGUCUUGCCUUUAGAUUCUGACUUGGCCUGGGAUGUCUACCAUAAGCUCCCCUGGUUCUCAGGCUUUCGGGCUCAGGUUGGAAGUGUACCAUUGGUUCUCCUGGGUCUUCAGCUUGCCAGCUGCAGAGCUGGGGACUUCCUAGCCUCCAUAAUUGCGUGAGUCAAUUCCUUAUAGUAAAUUUCUCUCUCUCUAUCAAUCAAUGUAACAUAUAUCUAUAAUUCGUAUCUACAUUCUUUUGGUUCUGCUUCUGGAGAACCCCCAUACAGGAAGCAUAUUUUAGAAAGUCACAGAAAGCAUUAUUGGUUCAUUUUGAUGAACUCAUUUUGAUGAAUCAAUUCAGUUCAUCGGCUAUUUAUUAAGCAUCUGCUAGAUUCAAAGCAAUGAAAUGUGCUAAGUGCUGCAAGGACCAUAACGAUAAAGGAGUGUCCAGCUUUACAGCAAGUUUUUAAACUUGCUCUUAAAUUAUCAUAAGGCAGGGGGUUUUAAUAGCCUUGAAAGGGAUGCUACCCAAAUGUUUGGAAGUUUUGGUGGAAGGGAAAGAGACUUUGGUUAUGUAGUGUGGGGAAAGCUUUAUAAAUUAGGAGGCAGCACAAGUAAAGCUCAGUUCUCUAAUGUCACUCAAUUUCCCAACUAUUGUCCUCCUUCUCUUAUUUAUAUGCAAACAACCCUGAACUCCCCUGGUUGGUAUUGCAGGACAUGUUAAAAUCAUGAAGAUACUAUUCUUAAUAAAGAUUUAAUACUCAUUCAAUCAAAUAACAUAGCAUCAAAAGAAAUAGAGCAAAAACUAUCAAUGCGAAGUAGACUGAAACAUAUUAGUACAAGUAGACUUUAAAUAGCUUUCCCCUCAGUGCAUCAACAAAUUAAGUGGACAAAUGAGUAAGUAAAAAUGCAGAAGAGCUAGAAAACAUAAUUAACAACGUAGCUCUAACUGAUAUAGCUACAUCAAUCUACAGUGCACCAUACCCUGAAAAUAGAGAAACAAUCUUCUUAACAAGUACUGUGAAACAUUUACAAAAGUAGAAUUAUAUUAGGCCCUAAAGAAACAUUCCAAAAAAUUUUAAAACUAUAGAAAGCCAUCUCAGAAUCUAACACAAUAACAUUAAAGAUUAAUUAACAAACCAGAAAACAAAGAUUUCUGACAUUAGUAAACUAAAAUCUCUUUCUUAAACCCUUUUUAGGUUAAAAAUGAACUCAAAACUGAAAGUGGAGAAUAUCCAGAAAAUUAACAUAAUAAAUUGUGUAUCAGAAUAUGAGGAAUGUAAUUAAAGCUAAACUCAUCAAAUUAAAAGAAAGCAGUCUUAAAUAUUUAUAGUAAUGCUCUCUAUGAAAGUAGAAAAACUGAAAAUACUAAAAACUACUAAGUAAAACAGAAGAAAAGAACUAACAAAAUAAGUUCAGAAAUUAAGAAAGUCCUAAGUGGAAGAAUUGCAUGAGCCCAGGAGCUGCCGUGGGCUGUGAUUGUGCCACUGCACUCCAGCGUGGGUGACAGAGUGAGACCCUAUCUCAGAAAAAAAAAAAAAAAAGGAAGAAAAAGAAAUUAAGAAAGUCAUAAACAGAAAAACAAUGGAACUAAUAAAUUCAAGAACUGUAUUAUAAAUAAAAACAUUAAAAAUAACAAUCAACUAACCUGAUAAAGAUACGCAGUAAAGAAAAUACCAUUUGCAAAUAUUUCCUUAAGGAAAUACAAAAGCAGGUUCUGCAAAGAGUGAUGCUGCAGGUUCAGUUUCUAGGGUCUGUUUUUUUGCGAUGUUCAUUACUAUGGUUUCUUGUUUUGACUUGCAGCCUUUACAUUGUCUUCCUUUCAAAUAGGUGACACUAUUUCCUCUUGUGAAUGAAGAGAUUGGUUGUUCAUGCAGCACAGGAAUUGAACUGUGGAUCUUAGUCCCUGGGGGCUUCAGGAACCAUUGUCUACACUCUCCUCCUGCCUGUUCCUCACCUCUAACACUCCAUGGUGAGGGUGACAUAGUGAGAAGGCCCUGGAUUAGGGAUCAUGCUACCUGAGUUAUAUUAAUAAUUACAUUUCUGCUAUGAAUUUGGGUAUUCUCAGGCCAAAGCCUCUCGGAAUCCCUGUUUUCUCUUCUGCAAGACAAUGAGUUUGGAUUUGAUAAUUUCUUCUGAAGUCUCUUACAGAGAUAAUAUUUUGGAUGCAAUAUCUUUUGAUUGUUGGUGUCCUGUUCUCCAUAACUUCUGUAGUUACUAAUACUUGGUUGCCCUGCCCUCUACUGUCUUCCACCUAGGGUAGUGUCAUGUCAUCAGCUGGAGUAUGCAGUGACUUCAGAUUUUUUUGGCAACUUUGCCAAUACUAGUUAUCAAAAUUUCAGCAAUUCAUUUUCUCCUUGAACAUCUGUACCAAAACAUUUUUUAUUUGGUUUUGUUGUGGUGAUUGACAGUUCAAUAAGAACUAAGCCAAACUCUUAAGCACUUCUUUUUCAAACCAGGAAAUAUAUAUAUAUAUAUAAUUUUUUUUUAUUGAAUCCUACUUUAGUCAGUCCAUUUUCAUCCAAGUUCAGAGCUACCGGGAUUGAUCAGAACAGCCAUCCAUUCCAGAUUGUGUUUUUGCCAUAUCUAAAGGAAGGUAUUAAAUAUAUUAUGUAUUUGGGGUUUUCUCAAAGGUAGUUUACAGAGAGUAGAUAUGCUACCAAAAGGUUUAUAAAAACAAAAUAACCAUGACCAAAAAAAAAAAAAAAAAAAACCCCAACCUUCCACAGCACCUUUUCUCUAAUAUCCAUAAAAAUGUUGGGUAAUUCUUGGAGGAGGCAAAUUUUGCUGACGUUGAUCUACAAAGGAAGUAGUUCUUUACAAGGCCAGAAUAUGCAGUAAUACAUAACAGCUCUUCCCCACCGCCCCCCCCAUAAGGUCUGCUUACUUGGAUACUUGUUCAUCUGCCUGUACUAAGCAGCCUGCAACCCUGUCCUAUUAUUAUUACUGAUGCUAAUCAGUCUCUACUGAGCACAGGUCAGAACCAGGACAGAAUGCCAGCUCCAGUCUGUAAGGCAUCACAUUUUGUGAGCCAUUAAUGAGCGUUCAUGAAUUUAAAAAAAGCAGAAAAAAGAAAGGAGAACUCAGUUUGCAUUUGGAGAGUGAGAUAGUAAAUAGAGAAUAGAAAAGAAUUUACAUACAUAAGAAAUUAUAAAAUUCAUUCAAAACUUACAUGCUGAAAUUUUCCUUCCUUGUUCUUCCUGACUGGAUACAAUGUCAGGGAGUGAGUGAUGAACUAGGCUUUGGGGUGAGGCUGUUGUUUGCUCAGUGUUGGAACUGCACUUUCCUUUUUCUUUUACUACCUGUGUAAGUGCAGCCACAUAGCUACUUAGUGUGAGUGAAGAGGGGAUGGGGAGACUCCUCCAAUCAGUAAUGUCCUGAGAUUGUUGGUAUUGAUUUUUCCUCCUGAGUGACACAAGUUAAGUGGCUCUUGACAGGAAUUUUCUUCUUGAUGACAAUUGACUUCUGAUUGCCUGGACAUCUCACAGCCAUUGGCAGGAGAGACUGGCACCUGCAAGGAGAAGCUCAGAGUGUCUCCAGCUCCAUUGCAAGCUUUCCCCACUAGGAUGCUCUUACACUGCCUCCAUGAGGGGCCAGGUGGCAGCAAAGGAGAAAUGUUACAAAAGACGCAGGCCUGUUUGCUGUGGACCUUUGAUCCAAUCAGCUUGGCAACUCUGGAAAUUCCUGAUAUGUUAAUUGGCUUAUCAGCAUCAUUAUCAUCAUUAUCCUUAUUAUUAUACUUUGGGAUGGGCCUGUAUAAUCCCAAAGAUAUACAGAUGGAAAGUGAAAAUGUUUUUAAUCAUCUGAAGAGUUUGCUUGCAGGUCACUAAACAUGAGAAUGACUGAUGAAUCAUGCUUCAUUCUGCCCAUUUUCAUCCAAAUUUAGAGCUAUUACGUUUAAUAAAUAAACAUGAGAAUAACUGAUUCAAAUGUCUGAGUGUUAUGCAAAGUAGGUUUUAGAUACAGAUUUCUAGACUGGUGACUAACUGGGGAGAAGGAGCAGGGCUCUGAAGACUGAUUUCCUUGACACUUGGUUAGGAUAGAAAAGCAGAGAUUAAACCAUCGGGAACAUCGGAGACGCUCUUUGCUUUACUUUUUUGGACAAGACAAUGAAAAUAUUUACUUAUAAUGUGUACUUUACUUUCAAGGAAAACUUGAGGCAGCCCAAAUUGAAACAUGCAAAAUAGUAGAGUUAAAAUGUAGACAGAGAACUCAGAAAUUUAGGUGAAGAACAGAGGGAAUUUUACUAGAAUAGUUAAUGCAAUUGAACACCAAACUUGGUUCUGAUCAAAAGUCAACAAUAAUAGUAGCUAUAAAGAUAUUAAUAAUAGUUACAAUUACCUUGUAGCAAGUGUUUUUAUGCAUUAUUUCUAAUCUUUGCAACAACUUCACAAACAAUAACAAAAAAUCCAGAGGCUCAGAAAAGACAAAUAAUUUGACAAGAGCCACAGACACGGUAAGUGAUGGAGCCAAGAUUCAGAUUCAGAACUCCCUGAGUUCAAAGCCCAUAUGUGAUAAAACAUAUCUUUGCGGGACGUAUUCCUGGCCUCUACAGGGCAAGAUACUGAGAUAUAAAAUGCCUGACAGCCCUAGUAAAGGCCCAGUAUUGGAAAGAAUUAUGCAGUCCUACAGCCACUCAUCAGUGAGUUGCCUUGGAAUGUUGAUUGUGUGUUUGUCAGAGGAGGAUUUUUGGUAUGCAUACUGGUUCAAUUUCUGAAAAGCCCCUUAGGAAACGAGCUUCCAGGGUCCAUAUUUCUAUUGCAGAAACUGUUAGAGCCACCUAAAAUAUAGCCUUUUUUUUUUUUUUUUUUUGUUUAACCACUCCAUAAAGGAAGUCUCAGUUGCUCUGUACUAAGAUGGGAAGAAAGGCUCAUAGUUUGACUCUAGCACAAAGACCUGAGCAAAAGGAAGCUGACCCUGGCCACCUGAUGCCACCAUCCAGAUGGCAUGGCAGACUCAAGCUCCUCAUGCUAGAAACUAGGAUUAUGGUUAACUAGGAGUCUGGGACUCUUGGUGGCAUCUUUUUUUGUGAACAAAAAUAUACAUAAAUGGUAAGUAUAUUUGUAGCCAUAAGAGUCUCUACUCUGUAAUAACCAUGUUAAUGUUCUCAUAAAAAGAUAUGGGGCAAGAGCAAAGUGACAGAAAGGCUGAUUAGCAUUUUAUGACAGAAUUAAGCUGCAUGACAAAUAACUCACUGGUUUUAUGCCCUAGCAAAUUCUACUUUCAAAUGCUGCAGGUGCUGGGAUGUUUUUGUUCGUUUAUUUGUUUUUUAUAUUUAACCAUGAAGCCAUUCAGAGCAAUUUGUAGGAAAAUGGAAUACAAUAGUAAUAGUAAAUAUGAUUAGUGCUAAUAUUUAUUAAUAAUCUCUUUUAACAUUUCUGUAAAAAUUACUCUUUUUUUUUUGCUACUGGAUUUCCGAGCAUAUAUUGGUUUAGAAGUGGAGGAAAAUGUUCAGACCACUACUUGUCAAUCUUUUCAUGUGAUAGAUUUUCCAAAAUUCAACAAUUUUGGCAUUAGUUCUCCCUACCUUUGGGGAAACCACACUGAGGCCAUUAAUUCUGUGAGUGUUAAAGGGGAAGUGACUUCUACUUUGUCCAAAGUACCAGAUUCUAGAUUGAGAACUCCCUCUAUACUUGCAGUUUUGUUACAGAUAAAGAAUGGGGGCUGGGCAUGGCGGCUCACGCCUGUAAACCCAGCACUCUGGGAGGCCAAGGAAGGUGGAUCACAUGAGGUUGGGAAUUCGAGACCAGCCUGACCAACAUGGAGAAACCCCAUCUCUACUAAAAAUGCAAAAUUAGCCAGGCGUGGUGGCAUGCACCUGUAAUCCCAGCUACUCGGGAGGCUGAGGCAGGAGAAUCGCUUGAACCCGGGAGGCGGCGGAGGUUGCGGUGAGCCGAGAUCGCGCCAUUGCAUUCCCGCUUGGGCAACAAGAGUGAAACUCCAUCUAUUAAAAAAAAAAAAAGAGUGGGGAAAGGUGGAAAGAGGCAGAAGAGACACCUUGCUCAAUUCAACGAAGCAUUAGUUAUUGUUGCUUGGAAAUGAUUCAACAGCUGGUUUUCUCAUCUACAGAUGAGAAACGGCAGGUUUCCUUAAUUGCUGGUGCUGGUGGUAGAUGAUAAUAUUCGUUCUCAUUUACUUCAUUAAGAGUAUAAUAUUAAUAUAUCAAAAUUACCAACACAAAGUAAAAAGAUGAAAAAGAAAAAUAAAGAAAUGUGCUGGGCAGCUGGAGAUGCAAGAAGACAAUCUAGUCCCUGACCUCCAACAAUUCAAUCCAUUUGGAAAGCCAAGAUGAUUGAAUGAAACUAUUAAUGAGCAAUGCAGGGUGAUAUAAUAAAGUGCUUUAGGAUGUGGAUAAAAAUUAUGUAGUCACUGUGGUCUUGAUUGCAUCUGUAAUUUAGAUUGAUAACAUUUUAUACAUUCUAACUACUGACAAACAUUUGUUGGAUUGAGAGUCAAGAGAUGCUAGUCUGGUUGCCACUUUGUAUGACUUUGAAUAACCUAUUUAACGUAUAUGAAUAUAUGUGUAAUAGAUUAUAAUAUAUAAAUGUAUAUUUUAUUAAAAUAUAUAUAUAUUUCUGGAUAAGACAAAGAAGAUCAGAUGAUCUUCAAAGAUCCUUUCUGUUCUAAAAUUUUAUGAGUUAAUGAUUCUGGCUACUAUCACUAAGAUGAUUUCAGUUUUUUCCAUAAAGCCUGGGAGGUUCAGAGACUUGCAAAGUGCUUCUCCUCCAAAGUAACAGCGUCUAUCAAUCUUUUCUGAUAAGUGGGGUUCUGGGGCUCCAGUCCUAAGGGGUUUUAGAGCCUGGCCUGGAUAAGGGUGGGGGCUGGAAUGGCCCUUUGUUUCAGAGUGUACAGUGAAGGCACCAUCCCAGGGCAACAUUGGAAUGAAGAGUCUAGGAGUUUGGUCAGCCGUAGUAUCGAUUUGCAGGGACUAGACAGAGAUAAAAACUAAGUGAGGGGCAAACUCAGAGACAGCAAAACUGAGAUGAGGGUCAGAAACAGAAUCUGAAGAGAUGAUCUGAGCUUGAAAGUAUAAGCACAGGGUGAAGAGGAAGCUAUUAAUUUAAGGACAGAUGACAGAUUCUCCUUCACAGGCUCACUAUAUAGCAGCCGUCUUCACCCACUACUUCAUACGAACUUGGCUUUCUCCUGUAAGGGUAAGCCCAUGAAUUCCUUUAUGUUCUCUUGCCUUAUCUCUUCUGUGGGCAAAGGCAGGCCUUUGAAAUGGUAGUUGGCUAGGGCUGAGGAUAUGGCUUUGGUAUGAAAACUUCUCAACUGUCUACUGCAGGUCUCUUUUUUUACUCAAUUCACCCUCCAUUCUACUACUAGCAUAGUGAUUUUUCUACAGUAUAUUAUCUCUGACCUUGCCACUCCUCUGCAUGGGAACCUUGAUAGCUAUCUUUGUCAGAACUUAAAACUUUGAGAUCUUCUACAAUAUGGCUUCAGCUUGCUUUUUCCACUGUAUUGGUCACUUCUACCAUAAUUAUGCCUCUUGAUGUUUCUCAAAUAUACACUAUCUUUCCCCACUAUCGUGCCUUCAUUCAUGAUGAUUCUCUUUCCUGGAAUACCUUUUCCCUGUCAAAAUUCUACCUAAGCUCCAAUCCAAUCUCAGUUUACUAUUAGAAAUCUCUUCAGAACAUCUUCCAUCAGAUAUAAUCUUUCUGUCCUUUGAAUUUCCAUGGCCAAUUUCCUCCUCUUUUUUGAGUUUAUUAUUUCUACCUUAUAUUUUGCUUAUUUCUAUACUUAUCAUCCCUGUACUAUGAGGUCGUGGCCUCUUUUGGGGAGGAACCACGUGUCCCCAGCACCUCACAUAGUGUCUGAUACAUGAUGAGCAUUGAUGAGCAGACUUAGUUGUCUGCUGAGAUCCUGAUACAGGCUGGGGAAGUGGGUAGACAUUAAAAAAAAAAAAAGACAAAAAAAAUCAUGUAAAAUCAAGAAGUGUUUCUACUCUUUUUACUUGGCAUUAUACAUUAAUUUAUGCAACAUACAUCCCCUCUCCAUCCCGCUGCCAAACAUGCUAUUGUUGCCUAUGAAACAUAAAGCAGUAUAGGAUAAUGGAUUUUAUGAUUUUUUUUACAAUUAUGAAACAUAUGCAAACAAGUGCAAGCCUAUCUUGAAUUGUUAAUACUUUAAUUGGAAUAACUCAUUUAAACUGCCUAAGCAAUUGUAUUAAAAUCCAUGUGCCCAUUUCAAGCAAAUUUCUGGAAUGCAAGGGUUUCAAAUGAAUAAAAAUAUACCCUCCUUUCUUCUCUUUCUCCUCCAGGGAGAUACUCCAUUUUAUUUUUUCAGCAUAAAUAAACCAACUUGUUUAAGUUAACCUCAUAACUCUCAUUUUAAAGACAUCUUUUUUUUUUUUUUUCCUGAGAUGGAGUUUCAUGGGAGGCUGAGGCAGGAGAAUUGCUUGAACCCAGGAGGCAGAGGUUGUGGUGAGCCGAGAUCGUGCCACUGCACUCCAGCCUGGGCAACAAGAGCGAAACUCCAUCUGUAGAAACAAAGAAAAAAAAAAAGAAAGAGAUGGUUUCUUUUUACCUAGGCUGGAGUGCAGUGGUGCUAUCUUGGCUGACUGCAACCUCCGCCUCCCAGGUUUAAGUGAUUCUCCUGCCUCAGCCUCCUGAGUUGCUGGGAUUACAGGUGCGUGCCACCAUGCCUGGCUAAUUUUGUAUUUUUAGUAGAGACGGGGUUUCACCAUGUUGGCCAGGCUGGUCUCAAACUCCUGACCUCAGGUGAUCCACCUGCCUCGGCCUCCCAAAGUGCUGGGAUUACAGGUGAGCCACCAAGCCCAGCCUUAAAGACAUCUUUCCUUCAUCUUUGUGGCUUUUAUUUUUGGCCCCCAUGCUGUACUCCCAAGUGUCCCAGGCAGUGUGAUGUAACUAUGGAUAACUUCUUUAAUCAGACUGGCUUCAAAUCUUACUUCUGCAGGAUUACUAGCCCCGUGACCCUCCACUAGUUUGUUAAUCUCUCUCUGCUGUAUUUCCCUAUCUGUAAAAUGAGGAUGAUGAUAAUUGGGUUGUAGUUGAAUAAUGAAGUGAGUUAAUGUCUGCAAGGCACUUAGCACAGGGCCUGGUAUGUAAGCAUUGGCCAUGAGAACUCUUGUUGAUUGUUAAACUUGGAACUGAACUAGUCUUUUAAAGCUGUUUAAACUCAAGUGCCACGUGGCUAUUUUCUGGUUAAACUGAGAUCCAUGCUUAUCUCUAGACUGCCUUUUCCAGUUUUGCCUACACAGAGCCACCUCUCUAUCUUGUAUCUGUGCAAGGUUUUGUUUUGUAUUUUCAUUCCCUGAUGUACCACUAUCUCCUAGUUCACACAGAGACUUCAUUAGGCUCUGGCGGGUAGCUUCCUUUAUUGUCUUAGCUUGAGAAUAGUAAUGGCUAAUAUCCCAUGUUGUACUUUGUUAGAGGCUGAGAGGAAAAUUUCCACCAUAAAUGGCACUGUGCUGUUGGUUAGAGGCAUAUUGAAACCUUUUACCUUUCCCUAUUGCAUUCAGGGAGAAGAGGCAGGGCCUGGUGGAGGAGCAGUUUGAUUUGAAAGAGCAAAUUCUAACAACAGCAGAGAGACUGAGGGAAGAGCUGUUAGGCAGCCUUCCAAACAUACCAUACUGUUGAUUCUAACAGUAAAGGGGCUUUCUUCUUAAUCACUCACUUUAUAUUUCCGAGCCCUCUUGACAACGGCAGUGGAGAUGAAGGCUGCUAUUACAGAUGUGACUUGUGCAUUAGAGUUAGCCAACUUGUAAACUCUUGAGAUUAAAAGCAAAUUAGGAAAACAUGUAUGUGACUUGUGCUUCUUGGGAAGCUUUUUACUCCUGUCAAGAGAUAAAACUAGUAAAGUUAAUGCAUACUCUUUUCUUUGAUUCCAGUCAAGAGUGAAACCAAAGUAGAUUGGAGGCUCUUUGUACCUUUGACCCAGCACAGAGCUGAGCCCAUGCUGGGCACUGAAUAAAUGUUAGUUGACUCCGAGAUGCCUUCCCAUUAGCCAGUUGGAUCGUCCAAUGCAGAACAAUUUUCUUUCUUUUAUUUAUUAAUAGUUCCCAAGUUGUCACCAAUUCAGUGUGCAUUCUGGUACAGUUUAAUCAGUUUUUAAAAGAUAAAUGAUCAUUUGCUUUUUCCUGGACACAGUCCCUUUUCUUAUGUAAUCAAAACAGCGACAAAAAAGCAAUGGCCCUUUUUGUUAGAAUAUCAUGUUGAGAUUUCAUUUCUUAUUCAUAUUUAUCACCGACGUUCAUUCUUAUCUAUCACUCCCCAAUCCCUUUCAGCCUAUUUUUCAUUUCCAAUGAAUGUUUGUGUUUUGGAAUAAAUUUUCCUGAGAUGAGUAUAUCUUAGUUUGUAUACAGUUGGCAUUUUUUUCAAGUUCAAACUCUUCUUUUGUUUACACAUUUAAAGCCUUAGGACUUUGUUUUCCCUUCCUAAGUUUUCAUCAUGUGCAAUGUUUUCCCAUUCAGUCUCGUCAGCAUCACUGAUUAAUAAUUUCUUCCUAUUCCCAGAUCAUGUAACUCUGAGCACAAUCAUAGGCUCUGAGAAAGCACUUGGCAAAUACUUAUUAAUUUAUUGAGUCAUAAGUUGAAGGUGUUAUUAGAUUAUUUCCACAGUGAAAACAGUGCAAAUUUUCAGAUGCAAACUAUUAAGAAGGUGGUACUCUGAGAACGGUACCAUCUGCCUUUAUUCAUUAAAAUUCAUAGUAUUAUUCAUUCUGAUUCUUUUGCAGUGCCAUGAUGCCUGCUUCUGAUUUCUGGGAUUAGGAAGUGUGAAAAAUGAGUGAAACUUGGUGGAAAGAAAGAAGGUUUGACAUGAAUCAAGGUGCACUCACAAAGAGAUGAGGGGCCAGGACUAGGGUCAGUACUUCCAAUCUAAAGACUGUUCAAACUAACAAACUCCACUCAUUCAGAUUGGCCUCAACAGCUUGGCCUCAACAGCUUGGCAGAGUAGGAAAGGAAUGCUUUUUUUGUUUUUGUUUGUUUGUUGUUUUUUUGGAGACAAGGUCUCUCUCUGUUGCCCAGGCUGGGGAGCAGUGGCGCAAUCUCAGCUCACUGCAACCUCCGCCUCUCAGGUUCAAAUGAUUCUUGUGCCUCAGCCUCCUGAGUAGGUACGAUUACAGGCAUGUGCCACCACACCUGGCUAACUUUUGUAUUUUUAGUAGAGAUGGGAUUUUGCCAGGUUGCCCAGGCUGGUUUCGAACUCCUGACCUCAAAUGAUCCACCC
Molecule: long non-coding RNA, 57273 nt
Filed under: Homo sapiens (human)
Lineage: Eukaryota; Metazoa; Chordata; Mammalia; Primates; Hominidae
Description: non-protein coding lnc-IGSF11-5:7
Source: RNAcentral